GGAAUGGCGAUUGCCAAAAAGUGCAGGGAUUGCCACUUGCACUUGUUGUUGUAGCUGGAGUCCUGGCAACUAUAGAGCAUGAUAUUUGUGUUUGGGAAGAAUUUGCUGAAAGUUUUACUUUGACCAUGGUGUCUGGUGCAGACCAGUGCAAGAAGUCCUUGGAGCUCAGUUUUGAGCAUUUACCAUACCACUUGAAGGAAUGCUUGCUGUAUUUUGCUGCAUGAAAAAUUGGUGCAAGAAGUUGAUGUGUCUAUGGAUUGCAGAAGGAUUUGUGGAAAUAAUUGAAGAGAGAAAUCAGAGGAUGUUGCAGAAAAAUAUCUGAUGGACCUAAUUGGCCGAAACCUAGUUAUGGUAGGUAAACAGAUCCAUUGGUGGAGUGAAAACUUGUUACAUUCACGAUUUGAUAUUUGAGUUCUGUAAGGGCAAGGCGAAAGAAAAGAAAUUCCUUCAGGUCCUGCGAGGAUAUGAUGAGCUUUCUACCUUUAAUGAGCCUCCCAACCUACCUCGGUUGUCCAUUUGCUCCAGUGGCAAAGAUUUUAUGAAGUCAAAGCUAUUUUGUCCGCAUUUAGGUACUCUGCUAUUCUUUGAAGUUACUUCAGUAUAUGACAAGUUUGUAUUCACAAACAUCUCAUUCCUUUUUUGUAUCUACAAACAUCUUGAAGUUUUGAAUUUAGGGAACAUUAACCUAAGGUUGAAGGAGCUUCCAACUGAAGUCGAAUCACUUCUUUGUUUGAGGUACUUAGCCCUUACAGCUUGGACAAUGGGAUUCAUUCCACCAUCUAUAGCCAAUCUCUCACAUUUGGAAACCUUUUGUCUAAAUUCUGGUGAGAUUGUUUCAUUGCAGAUAGCAUCUGGAACAUGAAGAAGUUGAGGCAUAUACAUGUAAGAUGGGAGGGUAUCAUUAUUCCUUUCUCUUCCAACGACAACGGUGUUGAAAACCUCUCCACUUUACCCAAUUUAGACACACUCUCUUGUUUGUGCCUUUAUGAAGAGGGAGAGAACUUAUUGAGAAGGAUUCCCAACGUUCGCCGACUUACAAUUUCCGAUUAUCAGACUGGAAAUGAAGUGUUUAACAUGAGUCGACUAGAAUGCCUAGAAUCACUCACCUACUCGGGCAAUUACUCCUCAGGUUCAAUGGAACAUGUUGAGCUUUCUUUUCCCAUGAAUUUGAAGAAGUUGAGUCUUUCCUACCUGGGUCUUCCUGUAGUAAAUGUCAUUGAUUGAACAACUACCCAACCUUGAAGUCCUCAAAUUAAGAGAGCGGGCAAUGGACGGCCAAAGAUGGGAGCUGAUGGUAGGAGGAUUCCCUAAACUCAGGGUCUUGACUUUGGAAGAAGUAGAGGUUGUGGAGUGGAUAGAGGCAGACCCUGACAGUGAUGAUUACUUCCCGUGCCUUCAGCAAUUAAAACUCCACGAUAUUUCUAAUUUGAAAUGAUGCCUGCUUGUUUAGAGAGUAUAUCUACUCUUGAAGAAAUUAAGGUGAGUUCUUGCGGAGAUGGCGUCAAAUCUUUAGUACGGGAAAUUGAAGCAGCACAGGAAUAUAAUAAUGGAAAUGAGAAUAUGAAGAUCAUCAUCAUAGAUUGAAGGGCAUCAGCUGGUGCAACAUCUGGUAUUUUUUGUCAUCACCAUCAAUUGGCUUGUAGAAAUAAUCAUGCUUUUCAUUUUUAAACAAGUUUAAUUUAUAUUUUACCAUUUGGUAGCUUUUUUGUACUUCAGUUGCCUGUAAUGCAUGCACAAGCACAUUGAAAUUGAUGAGCAAACAACUAAUUAUUGCUCCAUUUUUUUUCUUAACGAUAUCAUCAGGGAGUGCUGCGGUGGUUUUUCCUCUUCAGAUUGUAAUUGGUCAUCCGUGCGGUCUGGCUUUCUUUGAUACUUUUGUGGAAGAUGGAGGUAAAAGUUGGAAAGGAUCCAUGGCUCUUUUCUUGUCAAGAUAUGGUGGAAACAAUCAAUGAGAUUAUUCAGAUAUUUUGCUGUUGGCCUAUUUGAGGUUCAAACUCCAUCAUUUUGAUAGAAUUGAUUAACAAUUUAUGUUUGGGCUCAUGGUUCUUGGAAGAAUAUGAUAGCCCAAUUUGGAAACCUCUGUGAUCAUCUCUUUUCUGCUCACAACAGGUUUUUUACGGUAAAAACUGCAAUGGGGAUUGCAAAAGGCUUACGUGGCCUGAUCAGAGAAUUGGUUGAAGAUGUAUGCUCAAUCUCAGGUUGGAUUUAGGAUAUCCAACUUUUGAGAUUUGCUAAAUUUUCAGAAUCACAUUUUAGUCCUUCAAGUUGGGAGAAUUUUGCAAGAAUGAAGUAAGGACUUAAGUUCCUUUAAGAAGGAUGUCUGCAACUUGGUUUUUCUGCUGCUUGAGCUAAUUGCUCGAAAGGGCAUUAGUAAAAUAAUUGAUUCUCCAAAGAGCUUUAAAUGUGAGAUAUUUGUAUGAAUAUUAAUUUUCCAUUUUUGAAUCCACACCAUAUGUUUUAGAUGAUAUAUAGAGCUACGGAUAAGAUCCCAAAUUUGAGAGAAAACGAGUAUAAUUUCAAUUGUACAAUGGGUCGAUGCUCUAUUUAUAGGCUAUGUCAAGUGAGUACAAUGAAUUUUGGGCUAAUUAACAUAUAAUCAAAAGAAAAAAAUGAGACUUGGAAUUUUCAUAGUUAAAAAAAAAAAAAAGAGCAGCUAACUAAAUUCUUCGUGAUGCGUAAAAGAACCAAAAAGUAAUCUCACUCUUUCUAAAUACAUGAAUGAAAUUUAAUUGGAUAAAAUAGGAAUCACAUUUUGCAAACAUCGGGCCUAAAACAAAGGAAACACAUAACGAUUAAACGUUGAAACUACCAAAAUAAACAGGAAAUGGAGUUCUACGGCGUCCUAAAAAAGUAUGCUCUCUCAAGCUGAAAAAUAGACUCAUUUAAUGUUUCUGGGACAUUUUGGACUCUCUCUCACCUCAAGCAACAUUGUAUUGAACUUGUAAGGCCCAAAUUUUAGCAACUGUUCACGCAUGCAUUUCUCUAGUUCCUAACUCAACUAAUGAUUUGUCUGAAUACUUGUGAGAUUUGAUGAGAAUGGACUUCUCAACUAUGAACAAAUUUGUAAGACGAUGUCAGAUUGGCCUUCUCAACUAUAAAAUGAUUAAUCAUCUAAUUGUGAAUCUACAAUACAAAAUAUGAUAGAAUUUGCUGACAUAACUUAAACGGAUUUUGGCUCCUCUAUUGAGUUCUUUCUUCAUUUCAUUUCGUACGAUGCAUAUUUAGAUGUAUGACACGUGUCUUCAAUUAUUAAAAAGGGACAUGGUCAUUUUAAAUUUGACUAAUCUAACUCUUGUUAAUAAUAAAAGUACGUGUCAUACAUCUAGAUGAAUACGCGAAAUGAAGAGAGAAUCAACUAUAAUUUGCUACUAAGACGUGCUAUCGAUAAGGUUUUGUUAAACAAAUGAUUUAUAUGUUUUGUUGGAGGAGAAAAUUGAUAGCAAUAUGAAAUUUAAACAGUUAAAUUUCUAUUCUUUUAAUUAAUUUUAAAAAAUUAUCUUAGUACGUAUUCUAAAACACAUGCCCACUAUGUGCAACGCUUAUGCUCCUAUGCUAAUUUCAUCAAAAUAGAUCUUAUAAAUUUUAGUUAUAAACUUAUCAAUUUUCAUUUGAAGUUUUAAAAACACCAUGCAAGAUAAUUUUUAUAGGCUUUUCAACGUCCUUCUUCAACAUUAUUACUCUAACCUAGUCUUUUUUUUUUGAGACAAUAAUUAUUGUAUAAUCUAUUCUAUCCUAGUUUUUUUACUCUAACCUUGUGUUUGGAUUGUAAAUUAUUUGAGAUAAUUUUGUGAAAAAUAUUAUAGCAUUUUUUUGAUGUGAUGUAUGUGAGAUAAAAAGGUAAUUGAAAAAUGUGUUGAUGAUGCAAGCAAAUUAGUGUGUAAAUAAAGUGAAAUAGAAGACAAUCCAAACACUUUUACGUUUUUCGCUAAUACAUUUUUCAAUUACUUUUCUGAUACAUACAUUAAAUUGCUUAAUACAUUUUCAAGAAAAAACUCCAAAAAAAUAGAAAUCCGAACCUAACUAUUUCGUAUAUUACAAUUCUUUCAAGAGCAUUUGAUACAUAAAAUUCACAUUAUAUAACAAGCCACAUUAUGAUACAUUUCAAAUUCUCUAGAGGUAGAAAACUAUGAUGUGAUUUGUCUGCCACAUAUGGGGCAAAGUACAAAUUAAAGAAAAUGUAGGAAGAACCAGUCUUGGUUCCUCGAAUGACAAAAUAAUUUCGUUAAUAGUUCCCCAUAUUGCAUCUUUACCAUACAUGAUUCCUUAAGGUAUAAAUAAUUUAACUUUAGUCCUUUACCUUUUAAAUUUUUAAAUUCGGUCUCUUAUCUUUAUGAAAUUUGCACUUCAAGUCCACUCCUCCAGCAUCCAACAUGCCUUUCAAGAGUAUAAUGUUAGAAAUAAGAGGGAUCAAAUAUGUCAAGAAAAAUUAAGAAUUGAAGAUCUAAAUGAGAAGUAUGCAAUUCUUAAGGAAGAAAAUAUUAUCUAAAGUGAAACAUACUAGGCUAUAGUAAGACUAGCCAAGCAUGCAUAGGACUAAAACUGCAAUUUUUACUCGUACUCUAUCCAUUAAUAUGUUCUUUAACCCUUUGCGCUAGAAUAAAGCUUGAUAGUUGAUACAUGAUUUGUAUAUAUUCUCAACUCGUUUAUUGAAGUAAAGCUUUAACUUUCAUUUUGUUUCUGUGAGGACCCGAAAUUUUUAUUUUAUUUUAUCGAAUAUUUAGUUUGUUUAAAUAUUUAUUUACUCAUUUUCUCUAAAUUAUUUAUUUCGAUCAUUUAAAAUCCUUUAUAUGGAACGACGCCUCUUUAUUAUUUUUAAAAGCGUUUUGUUGGAAAAAAUUCACUUUUCGAAAACUCGUUUAGUUCGGACAACGAGUGCACGUUUUUCGAGACUAUAUUUGAAUCGAGAGUGUAUUAAUAUUGGAGAAUUAAGAACGAUCAAUAAUAGAUUAAGAAAGGAUAAUUGAGGAAUUAAUACUCAAUUCACGUGAGGACUCGGAAAAUUAUUAUUUUUAAACCCUAAUUUUGGCUCAAUUAAUUAUCUAUUUGGAUUUUGCCCGAAUAUUUUUUCUAUCCUUAUUAGACCUAAAUAUAUGGUUUUAUAUUUCGUUAUAUUUUUAAAGUGUCUCGUUUCAAAAAAUUAUUUUCUUAGAAGCUUGUUUAGUGAAAAAGUGAAAACGUGUCUGAAAACUUUAGCCAAUUAGGAGUACAAUAAGCUCAAAAAUUUAAGACAUAUACAAUGGUCCUAAAAUAGGCAAUUUUAGGUUUAAAUAUUGAAGUGAUAGUUAGUGGUACGAUCGUUAUAAGAAUUUUUCAAAGGUUUCAAUUUUUAUUGCGCCUAAAUUAGAAAUACGUGUUUUCACGUGCGCGCUUAAUUGAGGGAUUUUGGACCAUUAUUUUGGGAUAAUUAAGAAUGAAUAAUAUUUAUAUGUAUGUAAGUGCCCUAGAGGUUUAGUGCACUAGUGCAACAAACGUAAGAGAAAUCGGACACAAACGGCGCGUGUAGGGCACUAGUUGUAAUUGAUUUGACGUAUUUAAUAGAUUAGACGUCAAGCGUCUUUCGUACGCAAAGGAAACCAGAAACCGCAUUUCCUUUCCUUCUAGCUUCAUUUUUUUUUUUUUGUCAAUUUCCUUCUAGCUUCAUGGUCGGCCAGCUACUGCAGAGAAACAACCAAAGACUUCAACAUUUCCUCUUCCAAAGCUCAUGCAAAUCACUACCAAAACUUCCAUAGAUUCAACCAAAAUUUCACACACAUUAGCUCUACACUUGGACAACACAUCUAGCUGCAAAAGGAAGGAGCUAUCCACGGUUUCUUCAAGCUUCAAAGGGCCGAAACCUCUGUCCUAACCAGCCAUCAAAGUAGGUAGUAAUCUAAUGCCUUGAACUUUCUUAUGGAAGCUAAAUUGCACUUAUAAAUUUGAAUCGGCAUAUGAUUUGUGGUUGAUGUUGGAAAUUGUUAAAUGUGGGCUCUAUGAACUCCCACUUUGGGUUGAUGGCUGUGAUGAUGUUUGAUGAUGGUUUUGUUGCUGUAUUAGUGCUUAACGAAGUAGAUUAAAAGUGCAUUAUUGACAGAAACGUUAUUGAGUUCUUGAAGCAAACAGUUCCGAUUUUACCCCUGCUCUGUUCGGUCACUUUAAUGCAGAAAUUUGAGGAUUUAAUGGCUUGAUUGUGUUGUUUAAUAUGUUGUAGUAGUUGUGUAAAAAUUUUCAUUGAAAAAUACUGAGUUUUGGUGGGUCAAACGAAUUUAUUUCAAAAACUAGUAAUUUGGAAAACGGUUUCGUCGUAAUCCAGACCAGUGUUUGUAUUUCAUCCAUAACUCCGUACUCCGACGUCGAAAUCAAGUUCCGUUAGCAGCAUUUGAAACUAGGCGUUCCCAUGUUUCCAACGGUGUAUAAUGCACAUUCUGGUUUCAUGUGUGUGAGCCACACCAUUCAUCUGAAGUCGGCUGUCCUGUUUCUCCGUUCUGCCGAAAUGAUUUGAUGAUGCUGCAACUUUAGGCUUAAUUUCGAGCUAGUUGCAUGCUGAAACUUGAAACGAUUUCUUCUGUGAACUUUUAGCCCUAUGAAUGUAUUUUCCAACGCCGUAAACCAUGCUCAAUUCCAAGUUAGGUCGACUGAAUUGUGGUCAAAACAAGAACGCUGCUCUGUUUUGGAAAAGCCUAGUUUUGGGACAGAUUUGAGAUGAGACUAUUGUGGUCUUGCUAAACGAAAAUUUUGGUGUUAAACACCUACCAGAUGUACCAUGAAUGAUCCUUAGACUUUCCUUUUACAUAUGGACCAUGAUUGGAGGAUUUCCAUAGCCAAACGAUUGAAUUUGGGAAGAAAAGGAUUAAAGGCAGAUUGCCUUAAGAAUUUUUCCAAACUUUGGUUGAUUUGUUAACCACCUUUCCGAGGGUAUUUUUCCACGAAAUUUGAUAGAGAGAUACCCUUCAUAUAGGAGUAUUAUACUACAAAAUUUGGUGUCAAUCCAAGUCCGUUUCGACACUUAACAAAUGGUCCAAAGUCGGAACCAAAUCUGGAAAUUUUGUAACAGUCUUGAAUUUUUCCCAACUUUGAGCUACCAUAUCUUGGUGCUCGAAACUCCGAUUCUCGAUCCGUUUGUUCUACCCUAAACCUUACUUGCACCUCUAAUUGAGCUAUAAAUUUCAAGGGCUGGUUUUCAACGAGUGAAUUCUGCCGAAUUUCCAAAGUUAACGAAAAACCAACCCCGGCUCAAUCUUGGGUGAUUUGGAACAGCAACUUUAAGCUCAUUUUUGAACACCUUCCACUUAGAUUCAUGGAAAAAUGUCUUCUAAGAACUUUUAGUACUUUGGAAGAGGUUUCCAACGGUACCAAGUUUUCCAAUUUUUGACAUGUGGAAUCUGAGAUACGAUUUUUUUCACAAUAUCGUAUCAAAACUGAAAUUUUCUGAAUUUCAAGGAAAUGGAGUUUUUCAAGUAUUCCUUAUUUCUUCGAUAAUACUUGAACGUUUAUGCUUGAUUUCAAGAUAACAAAACUCGAUUGCUCUUGUAUAUUAAGAAACUCCACUUGAACCUCGAUUUACUAGUAAUUGAGGUUCAUUUUCAUGAAAUUUCCCAGAUUGUACUAGUGCACAAUCUUUCUUGAUAAUUGGGAUGUGUGAAUGAUAAUUCACUAUUAAAUGCUCAGGCGCUCAAGAGGACCUUCCAGAGGAUCUCACGGGAGACGCCUAAACUCGCUACUUGAAUCACUGUGAGUGUCAAGUGCAUGAACUUGUUGUUAAGUGGUUAUCUGUUUCUUAUCCGUUAUGUAAAUUUGAAAUUUUGAGACGAGGGUGUACUUUAUCGCACUCGUUCUCUUUCAAAUGAAAUUAUAUUCGAAUUUUGCUAUGUAAAUUCGUAUCCAACUUGUACAUGGUAAUGUGGAUGUGAUUUGUACAUGUGAUUCGUAUAUGUGAUCCGUAUUUGUGAUUCCUAUUUGGAAUCGUCGAUUUGAGCGUUGCUCAUCGACUUAUAUUCGUAUUCGUAUUCAUAUUCGGGGGACGCCCAAAACUCAUUGGCUAACUUUGCGAAUCGAGCCAGCAUGGGUUUGGUCGAUAAGCUUAGCAAACCAUGAGAUAUUCGUAGAGCAUGAUCUAUUGGAGAGAUCUUGCUCGGCAUUACUCGUGCAGUAUUGCCAUGAUAUACUCGAGUAUUAUCAAAAACUUUGAUGAGCGGGUCCGAUAAGGGGUGUAACGGUGACGGGAUUCGAAGAAAGUGGUGUAUCUACGGAUUUGAUACUUAUGUGGUUGACGGAGUGUCAACGUGAGAUGUGAUCAAGACUUCGACUCGACUACUUGGAAUUUAGCUUCUGAGAGCUACAGUAUCCUUGAAUUGUUUCUGUUUUUUUUCCUAUUCGAAAUGUGAAUUAUUCGAAUUUGAUAGCCUUACCUACAAUGUACUUGUUGUUGCUACUUGGUUUAUGUGUUUGCAUGUGUGUUUUCUUGGCCUCACUGAGUAUUGGCUCGUCCUAUUAGUUUGUUUUCCUUAACAGGUUGGAUUGGAAGAUUUUGGUAAAGCCGACUAGAUUAUACUUUUGAUUGGAAUCGGGGCUGUAAAUGUGUAGUCGACUUUUAAUGGUUGCAUUUUGGAACUUGAUGUAUCUUUUGUGGACAUGAUGUAAGAUUUAAAUAUUUAGUUAAGAAAACGACUUUUCUUUAUUUUGACUCGUAGUAUUUGGUAUGUAUCGUUAAGUUCGAUUUGAUUUGUCUUGAGUCCUGGCGAGAGUUGGGCAGGCGUCCCGCGGAUACCCUUGGGUUCGCCCUUGGGAGAAGUGGGGGGCGUCACAGUUUCAUACUAGUAAUUAUCGAGUAUCUUAAUUAACUCAAUUGUAGAUAUUUGAAUGUAGAUAUUAAGAGAAAGCUGAAAACAUAUUUUGCUUUUAGAGAAAAUGAGGAACUUACUUUGCUACACUAGCCCAAUGAACUCAAAAAAGAUUUUACAACAUAUGAUAGGUUGCAAUUUAUUCAUUUAUUUUAUUAUUAAUUCCUCCUAUUACCUGACUUGAUGUGGAUUUAUUUGCUGGAUUCUACUCAUUUUUAGUAUUUGACGUUUAUUUCAGGAGUAGUAAAUAUGAUAACAGGUGCCAAAUUGGCAGAAAAAGAAUUCAGAUGAUUAAACUUGUCCCAGGGGCACUUUUGGAACAGAAGAUGUCACGCCCAUUUUGGUAAUUUUCGCAAAGGAACGACGGACGGAGGGCUUCUCUUCCUGUUGAUGUGCGCCGCAAUUAAAGAAAGAGAAGGAGGAGGAAGUUGGAUAGUUAGUUUUUUUUUUCCUUAGUUCUGGCCGGCUGAAGCUUAGGAGGAAAGCUUGACUUUGGUCUUCCCUGGGACUUACUUUUGAGCUUUAAACUAGAGAAAAAGCAUUUGUUAGCUUUGAGCUUUGACUUUUCUUCUUUUAUUUUGAAUCCUGCGCAUGGCUGGAACAAGAGGGAAUUACUUCCUUUGACCCUUCUUUAGCUUAUUGUAGCUUCUGGUCUCACGCAUGUUAGGAGCAAAAAGUUGGAGCCCCUUCUUUAACUUUUCCACCUUGUUUCUCUUGAGUGGCCCUGCCCACGGAUGCUAGCAACAAUAAAGAAACUCAAUUGUCACUUGUAAUUGUCGCGUGCCUUAUAAGUGUUCGACGAAUUGCGAAUUCCUAAGAUGCAGACUAAGGCCGUGACUCUGGCUGAAAUUUCCUGCGGGCUUAGUUCACCCAAUAUGAGCUAAUCCCCUCAUUCUAGUCAAGAAACGACGGAUGCUUUGAUUCGCCUAAAAAUUGUGAGAUCGAUUUAAUUUAAUCUUUCCCUUUUAUUUAUUGGUAUUCGUGUAUUCCUUGUUUGCUACGCUUAUGGUUAUUCAAUUAAUUGAUUGUCAUGGAUCCGGAUAAUUAAUUGAUCUGAUAGCCUAUUGUCAACUAGGACAUUUAAAUCCGUAAUUGUUUGAUUGUCCUGAAUUAGUGACGACUGGCACGAUUAGCUUCGUGUCAGGGAAUACACGGGCUAACUUAAAAUAACCAUGGUAGUGUGUUAUUGGUUAGAAUAGGGCUCUUCUAAUACGUAAGGCAGUUGGGAAAUUAAAUCUUACGGGCGUACCUAGGAUUAUUCCCAAUUAGAGCAGUGAUUAACGGGCGUACCUUGAUCACCGACACAGUAAGGAGGGGUUGACUGCCAUCGCUUGCUUGGUAGUUAUAACCUAUUUAUUGAUAAGUAGUUGGGAUUGCCUUGCUUCGAUGAUCAAUUAGGUGAACCAUUGCUGAAGUUAUUUCUUGGCUAGAUCUUUAAUUAAUAUUAUCUUGAUUGUAGUGAAUUGCCAUUCGGCUUUUGGUUGUCUACGUUAUUUCCUUUUUAAUUGUUUCCUUUUUUAAUUGAUUUCGGCCUUUAAUUCUUGUUAUCCUGAGUUCAGUAAAUUGUGGUUUAAUUUCUAGUUAGUUGUUUAUUUUUAUUUUCUCAUUGAAAUUUUAGUUAAUUAUCGUCGUUCCUACAAAAUCACCCCCUGUGUUAUUUUGGAUUUCUUAAGAAACAAAUAUACCCAAUCUCUGUGGAUACGACCCUACUUGCCCUGUCUACAAAUUCAUAAUUAUUUGUGAAAAGGAAUAACCAUUCCAUUCGGGUAUAUCGGAUCAAGCAAACUCUUCGGGAACAUGAUGAAUCAAGUAACCCAUUGCACACCUAGAGUCCCUGCUCCAGUACUUGGAAUUGGGUUUUGGUCAUUUUAACUGGCAAUUAGGUUUAACUUUAUUAUUGCACAGGCUUCGACAACCUGUCAAUUUUUGGCGCCGUUACCGGGGACAGGCGUUAUUAUUUGUUUCUUUUAAAUUCAAUUUUUGUCCUAAUUUUCUAGUUUUCUUCUAGUGUAUGCCUCGAUCUUCUUGCACAGUUGACUUGAUUUUUGACCCUGAGGUAGAAAAGAUCACGCGUAGAACGAGAAAGGAAACCAGACAGCUCAGAGAAGAGCACUCCAGUGCUACAUCUCAAAGACCCGAGUCAGAAGUUGAACGAAUAGAUUCGUUUGGCAACACUUCGAGUGACUCUGACCAGGAAGAGGACACCAUGGCUAAUGCACAAACAUUAAGGGAGUUGGCUGCUCCUGAUUUAACUCAGCAGCCUUUAUGCAUUACUUUCCCCGCUUUAAAUGACAACAUUCCAUUUGAACUAAAAUCUGGUCUGAUUCAGCUUUUACCCUCUUUUCAUGGUUUACCAGGUGAAGAGCCGUAUAAGCAUCUGCAGGAGUUUGAUGUCGUGUGCAAUAGUAUGAAAUCCCCGGGAAUCACAGAAGAGCAGAUAAAAAUGAGGGCAUUUCCCUUCUCCUUGAAAGAUUCGGCGAAGGACUGGCUGUACUACCUGUCACCAGGUAGCAUCACCACGUGGGGCCAAUUGAAGAAGAAAUUUUUGGAUAAAUAUUUUCCUGCGUCCAGGGCUGCAAGUCUAAGGAAAGAAAUUUGUGGGAUCAAGCAGCAUCCAGGGGAGUCACUUUACGAAUAUUGGGAACGGUAUAAGAACUUGUUGCGCAGGUGCCCCCAACACCAAAUAAGUGAGCAGUUGAUCAUACUUUUAUGAGGGGCUCCUUUUUAGAGACAGGAGUAUCAUUGAUGCUGCAAGUGGAGGGGCACUGGUGAACAAAACCCCUCAGGAAGCACGGGAGUUAAUAGAGGGGAUGGCAGAGAAUUCACAGCAAUUCAGUACAAGAGAGGAUGUCCCAAUACGUAUGGUGAAUGAGUAGAGACACCCUCUAUGCAGCAGCAGCAGCUAAAUGAGUUGACUGCGUUUGUUAGGCAACAGGCUGUGAGAAAUGCAUCACAAGCCAGGGUAUGCGGGAUUUGCACUGGUAUAGGUCACUCUGCAGACAUGUGCCCAAUGAUUCAGGAAGAAACUGCAGAACAGGUGAACAUGGCUGACCACGCGCCCGCGCCAAGGAAGCAGUACGACCCUUACUCAACACCUACAACCCCGGGUGGAGAGAUCAUCCCAACCUCAGUUAUGGAGGGAAUAGGCAACCCAACUUUACACCGAACAGGCAGUCUAACUUUGUGCCAAAUAAGCCACCAGGGUACCAGCAGCAAUACCAACCCUGACCACCUCCGCCCCUCAAUCUGGUUCAUCUACGGAGGAGAUGCUGAAACAAAUGAUGACAACCAUGACGCAAAAUCAGCAAAGGACGAAGGCAGUUAUUAUGCAAAAUCAGCAAAGGACGGACUCCGAAAUGCAGGAUAUAAGGAAUCAGAUAAGUCAACUGGCCACCAAAGUUAACCGUUUGGAGUCCCAGAACCAAGGGAAGCUGCCAUCUCAACCGGAGUUGAAUCCGAAGAACGUGAGCGCAAUGACCCUAAGGUGGGAAAGAAAUUCAGGGGCCUGAACCUGUGAUCCCUAAGGACAAGGAUGAAGAAAAUCGAAAAUGAGCUUGGAAGGGAGGACAGCAAUGGUGCAGAUCAAAAGGUACUUCCUGAUCCAAUAAUUACAGUUAAAACUAACCCGCCUCCUUUUCCUAACAGGUUGGAAAAAUCGAAGAAACAGGAUAAGGAGAAGGAGAUCUUGGAGGUUUUUCGCAAGGUUGAGAUAAAUAUCCCACUCUUAGACGCCAUCAAACAAGUACCAAAAUAUGCCAAGUUCCUAAGGGACUUGUGUGUCAACCGAAAGCGAUUGAGGGGGAUGAAAGGAUUAUUGUUGGGGAAAACGUGUCUGCGGUCCUGCAGAGAAAGCUCCCACCAAAGUACGGGGACUCAGGUAUGUUUACUAUUCCCUGUAGGAUAGAUAAUACUGUGAUCAGAAGGCCAUGUUGGAUCUGGGAGCAUCGAUUAAUGUCAUGCCUAAAUCUAUCUAUGCUUCUUUGAAACUAGGUCCAUUAAAAGAAACUGGAAUAAUUAUUCAAUUAGCUGACCGAACUAAUGCAUAUCCUGAUGGGUUGAUUGAAGAUGUGUUGGUAAAGGUCAAUGAUUUGGUGUUUCCAGCUGAUUUUUAUGUACUUGAUAUGGAUGAUGAUCACUCCCCUGAUCCCUCACCUUUGUUAUUGGGUAGACCUUUUAUGAGCACAGCACAGACGAAAAUUGAUGUUAAUAAGGGUACCUUGUCCAUGGAGUUUGAUGGGGAAAUUGUGCAUUUUAACAUUUUUGAUACUAUGAAGUACCCCUCGAACUCCAACUUUAGCUCAAUUUUUUCUGUGAGUGCUAUUGACCCUGUAGUGCAGGAAGUGUUUGAAACUGAUGGCAGGGAUGAGUUGGAAGUGGCUUUAACCAAGCACCUCGAGUUGGAGACAACUCCUCAGGUGGAGUGGAGUGAGGAUUUAAAAUGCACAAUAGAUGCAUUACACUCAUUGCGACCCCACGAAAAGGUAUGAAAUCUUACCUAUUUUUACUCCCGAGCCUCACCAGAGCGUAUUGCCAUCUGUGGUGUAGGCACCUGUACUGGAGUUGAAACCUCUACCAGAGCACCUGAAAUAUGCAUAUUUGGGUGAUAAUGAGACACUCCCGGUGAUUAUCUCAUCGGCACUGUCAAAAAUCCAGGAGGAGAAACUGAUCCGGGUCCUUAGAGAGCAUAAAGAGGCGAUAGGUUGGACAAUUGCAGACAUUAAGGGGAUCAACCCGGCCGUCUGUAUGCAUCGGAUUAGACUAGAAGAGGAUGCCAAACCUGUACGACAGGCUCAAAGGAGGCUCAAUCCCCUCAUGAUGGAAGUUGUAAAGAAAGAAAUCUUAAAAUUGUUAGAUGUGGGGAUUAUUUUUACAAUAUCAGAUAGCCCUUGGGUGAGCCCGGUCCAGGUAGUCCCAAAGAAGGCAGGAGUGACUGUAGAGGCCAACCAAACGGGUGAACUCGUGCCAGUGCGCAAACCCACUGGAUGGAGGCAAUGUAUAGACUACCGUAGGCUAAAUGCCGUCACAAAAAGGACCACUUCCCUCUCCCUUUCAUUGACCAAAUGGUUGAACGUUUAGCUUGUAGGGCUUAUUAUUGCUUUUUGGAUGGAUUUUCAGGAUACUUUCAGAUAGCAAUUGCCCCGAAGGAUCAAGAGAAGACAACCUUCACGUGCCCGUUCGGGACCUUUGCCUACAGACGAAUGCCAUUCGGGUUAUGCAAUGCACCUGCAACAUUUAAGAGGUGUAUGGUAAGUAUUUUUUCUGAAUAUGUGGAGAAAAUUAUUGAAGUUUUCAUGGACGAUUUCAGUGUAUAUGGUGAUAGUUUUGAUACGUGUCUAGAUAAUCUGAAAUUGAUCUUGAUAAGGUGUAUAGAGACUAAUCUUGUGCUUAAUUGGGAAAAAUGUCAUUUUAUGGUUGAGCACGGGAUAGUCAUGGGUCAUAUUGUAUCGUCUAAGGGCAUAGAAGUUGACAAGGCUAAAAUAGACAUUAUUUCUGCAUUACCUUACCUCGCGAGUGUGCGGGAGGUGCGUUCUUUUCUUGGACAUGCAGGUUUUUAUCGAAGGUUCAUCAGGGACUUUUCAAAAAUUGGAGCCCCGUUGUUCCAACUCCUACAAAAGGAUGUGACCUUCGAAUUCAAUGACAAAUGUGAGAAGGCCUUCGACAAGUUGAAAGAAUUGUUGACUUCACCCCCAAUCAUCCAGCCCCCUGACUGGAGUCUACCAUUUGAGAUUAUGUGCGAUGCCAGUGAUCAUGCUGUAGGGGCUGUAUUGGGGCAAAGAGUAGGGAAGGCAGCUCACGUCAUCUAUUAUGCAUCCCGAGCAUUGAAUGGAGCCCAGUUGAAUUACUCCACCACUGAGAAGGAGCUUCUUGCAGUUUUUUGCUUUAGAAAAAUUCAGGUCAUAUUUGCUAGGUGCUAAAGUAAUUGUAUUUUCUGACCAUGCAGCAUUAAGGUACCUAAUGACCAAGAAAGAUGCAAAGCCGAGGCUCAUCAGGUGGAUAUUGCUACUACAGGAAUUUGACCUGGAGAUAAGAGACAAAAAAGGCUCAGAAAAUCUAGUAGCAGACCAUUUAAGUCGCAUACCAAUUGGGGAGGAUAAUAAGCCAUUGAAGGAUGCAUUCCUUGAAGAGCAUUUAUUUUCCUUAAAUUCUCAAUUGUCUUGGUAUGCUGAUUUGGUCAAUUAUCUAGUAACGGGUGAUUUUCCUGCAGGUUGGCCAAAAUCGAAAAAGGAUAAAUUGAAAAGUGACGCCAAGUAUUUCAUCUGGGACGACCCGUACCUAUGGAAGAGAUGUGCCGACCAAAUAAUGAGGAGAUGUGUAAGUGAAGUGGAAUUUCAAUCAAUUUUAGCUUUUUGCCAUACUUUUGCCUGUGGAGGUCAUUUUGGACCUAAGAGAACUGCUCAGAAGGUUUUAGAAAGUGGAUUUUAUUGGCCUUCACUGUUUAAAGAUGCCUAUGUGUUUUGUAAGUCCUGUGAUCGCUGUCAACGGGUAGGUAAUAUAGCCCGAAGGAUCAAAUGCCCCAGGUCUCGUUGAUUUUUAUUGAAAUUUUUGAUGUCUGGAGUAUAGAUUUCAUGGGGCCUUUUCCUACUUCAUUUGGUUUUUAUAUAUUUUGCUGGCAGUUGAUUAUGUGUCUAAAUGGGUGGAGGCUAAGGCCACUCGAACUAAUGACUCGAAAGUAGUUGCAGAUUUUAUCAGGUCUAAUAUUUUUGUGCGAUUUGGAAUGCCUAGAGCUAUUGUCAGUGAUAGGGGAACGCACUUUUGCAACAAAACCAUAGCUGCGUUGUUUCGCAAGUAUGGUGUACUCCACAGGGUCUCAACGUCAUACCACCCUCAGACCAAUGGUCAAGCGGAGGUGUCGAAUCGGGAGAUUAAGACCAUUUUAGAGAAAAUGGUGCGCCCUAAUAGGAAAGAUUGGAGCCAAAGGUUGGAGGACGCACUCUGGGCCUAUCGGACGGCGUACAAGACUCCUAUAGGGAUGUCACCGUACAUGUUGGUAUUUGGGAAGCCGUGUCACCUUCCAGUGGAGUUCGAGCACAAGGCUUUUUGGACGAUAAAGCAAUGUAAUAUGAAUCUAGAAGAGGCCGGUGUUCAACGGAAGCUGGAUUUGCAAGAAUUGGAGGAGAUCCUGAACGAAGCAUAGGAAAACGCCUUGAUUUAUAAGGAGAAAAACCGGGCAUUUCAUGACCUACAAAUUUCAAGAAAAACAUUUGAAGUUGGUCAGAAGGUACUCCUGUACCAAUCCAGGCUCAAGCUAUUCCCAGGUAAGCUACGUUCCCGUUGGAUUGGACCUUUCAUUGUUACUCACGUUUUUCCAUAUGGUGCAGUUGAGAUCCGAAGUGCUAAGACAGCUAACAAAUUUGUGGUGAAUGGACACCGUCUCAUAUAUUAUUACGAAAGAUUUUCGGAUAGAGAGGUGGAGACAAUAAGGCUUGACGCACCACCGUGUCCUAAUCAGUGACACUUUACCAUGUCUAGCCAAAAACAUUAAAGAAAGGCGCUCAUUGGGAGGCAACCCAAUUGUUCUUUUUAGUUCGUUGUUCAAUUUCGUGUAGUAGUUUAGAAGUGUUCUCCUGGUUGUUCGACUGAUUUUGGGGUUUCAGUUUUCGUUUUUGCUGAUUUAUAGGUGCUCUUGCCCUCAUGACGUGCCCGCGUGGUGAUGUGCAGGACGCUCACGAUCAGGAACUUCUGAAACUUCUGGGAGCUCUCUUGCCCUCUUGACGUGCCCGCGUCACGUUCGCGGGAAAGGUAAGGAUUCAAAAAAAAAAUAGAAAAAAUUAUUAUUAUUAUUUCAUUUAUUCAAAUAAUAACAAAAAUAAAAAAAGGAAAAAAAAUCAAGAGCAAGAAAAAUUUUUUCCUCUUAACCGUAGCAAUUUCUUUUAUUUCAAAAAGAAAGAAAAAAAAAACACACACACACGAGAGUUCCUUUCUUUUUCUUUCUUCUUUUCCCUUUCUUCUUCUUUCUUUCUUUCUCUUUUCUUUCUUUCUCCCCUGCUGCUCCCUGCUCUCUGCGCACGCCACAGCCAAAUCCAUUUAUCGCCAUUGCCGCCGCGCGCUCGACCAGCCCAAGCCGCCGCCAUCGUUGCUAGAGUCGCGCGCCGCUGCUGCUCUGCGCGCCUCUCGCCAUCGCCACCUGCCAGCAAGUCUGCCCGCGCGCCGCCGCCAGUCAGCAGAUCUCUCUCCCCAUCGCCGUCCGCGAUCUACCACUGUUGCCACCACAGGUCAACCGCGCCACAGCGCUGCCGCUGCUGUAGUUCCGGCGCAGCCACCACCAGCCGCCGAGCGACCCACUGAGCGAGUCGACGCCCGCGACCCAGCGCGCCACCAAGCCGCGGCCCAUCCUCUGCGCCGCCGCUGCCAAAGUUCCAUCGUCGCCCACGCGACUCCCACCGCACUUGGCAACGAGCCCACGGGCACGCGCAGCAACCUCUGUCCGGCAACCGUGCUCUGCACAUGGACACCACCAGCUGCACCUCCGCCUCUCUGUCUGCCGCCUGGAGUAGUCCCAGUGGAGCUAACUGUGGGAGAAAUGGUCCGACCAAAGUCAUCAUCUAGGUCUAGGGCCUCUCGUUCUCAGCCCCUCCACAGGCCUCUAUUCCAGUCAACUCACCUACCAACCUACCCUCCUCUUCUAGUGUUCGAACCCGUUUGGGUAGGGGUAGGGGUAGGGGUGCGCAGGUAGAUACCCCAGUUCACUUUGGGGGCACCUAAACUUCACUAGACCCGCCGAUCAGGAGCGAUAUGCUAAGGUCUGCGAGCGGCGGAUUACACCAAGCAAGACUUGGGAAAAAUUAACCGUCAUGGGUCUAGGCAUACGAGAGGAGGUCGAGCAGAUGUUUACAGCUAUCGGGUGGCGCUCAUAUCUCGAUAUCUUAUGCCCCGCCUUUGUCGAGCUGACUCGGGAGUUUUACUCCACCUUUGAGUUCGAGUUACCUACGAGAUACACCGUUGACACACCACAGGUCAUUCAUUUCCGGCUCAUGGGUCGAGAGUUCAAUUUCUCCAUUACCCAAUUCAAUCGGGCAUUUGGGUUUAUCACUAGAGAGUAUGCUAGGACUAGGGAGUAUGCAGAGAGUGCUUGUGACUACGUUGAGCCGUUCCUCUCUCACUACCAUGAUGUGUGGGAAGACAUGUCCGUCGAUCAGCAGCGCUACGAUCCUUCCCGGUCUAGGAGCUCCUUUCUUAAGGACCCUAGUGCCCGCUAUGUUCAGCGUUUCUUAACCUACAGCUACUCGGGGCGCAAGGACAGCUCUGGCAUACUCUCUCGCCCUGAGUUCUUCUUCCUCUGGAGUAUGAUGAACAAUAUCAAGGUUAAUUUGGGGUGUUGGUUGGCCGCACAGUUCAAGACCGUCUUGGCCAAAAAGAACAAACCCCUUAUCCUUGGGUCCUAUAUCACUCACUUGGCGAUACAGUUGGGGGUUCUUAACCUGGAGGACCACGACCUGCAUUUGGCGUGCGAGAUGGAGCUCUUGGACGUAGACUGCUUGGAGAGGAUGGGAGUCAUUGAGCGCCUGACUGAUGGUUCCUACCAGUUCACCCCCCGGGACCACUUAGAGCUCCGGUGCGCAUCAUUCGUCCCGGGCAGGGCCCUCCUCCUUUCCUGGAUCAGCCGAGAACACAGUUGGGCCAUCUUCUUCUACGCCACCUCCACCGCAUGGGACUACUGAAUGGCAGCAACUCCGGGAGCAGGUUCAGACUUUGCAGGCUCGGAUGAUCAACGUUGACGCCAAUGUCGCCGGCAUAGCCCAGAAUUUGGCGCAGUUUCUGAUGCAUACAGGCUUUGCACCCCCGUUUCCACCUCGCCCUCCGCUAUGACCCGAUUUCAGGGAAGUUUGGCUGAUCCCCUGACACUUUUGCUUCAAUUUUGGUUUUUAUUUGUCACAUUGAGGACAAUGUGUCUAUAGAUGUGGGGGGAGGAUCUAAGGGGGUGGGUGCUAGUGUUUUCCGUUUUUAGUAAAAAAAAAUAAAAAUAAAAAAAAAGAAAAAACAUGUAAGUUUCUAGUUCUUAGUAGUUUCUCUUAGUUUUAUUUCCAGUUGCUCGUUUUCGUUCUUUCUUCUUGGUGCUUACCUCUCAUGUGAAUGUUAAAAUUGAUGUGGAAUUAUUGACUCCAAGUCUACUUUUGCCAAGUUUUUUAAAAUACAAAGGUAUCGGGUUGAUGUGGUUGGAUCCGAGAUAUCUCCUUGGUGAAUAUCGGAUUGAUUGGCUCUUUUGAUUUCUGUGUUAACUUUUCUAGACGUUGGGAAUGACUGUUGGCAUUUUAAUGUGAACUGGUCCAAUAUUGACUCCAGUUCUCUAUGUUUGGCAAUAAUGAGGCGAGCUGUUCCUAUUUUUGGCUCUUAGUGUUGUUAUUAUGUGUUUUUUGGCUUUGUUUGGCUGUGAAUAAUCUGGACUGUACUCCGCUAUGAGUUACUACUGAGUAGCCAGGGAUCGGCACCUCAAAGUGUCGAUUAUCGCGUCAAAAGGUGGUACUUUAUAUGAGUAUGUGGUCGUAUAGCGGUAGGAGCUGAGUAACCGGGCUCCUUCAUCUAAAAGUGUGGGAGUUCGCGUCAAAAGGCCCAACGGCUAACGAUUAAGUUUUUUUGUGUUAAGUAUUAAUUGUUGUCAAAAAAAAAAAGAGAGAGAAUAAAUAAUGGGAAGGCUUGCCGAUUUAUGGACUUAAUAUGGAGAGUUGUGUGAAUAUUUGGACCAUUAGCUGAUAAAUGUUGUGCGCCAUUCCUUUUUCUUAGAGUAGUUAACCUGGAAAUUGAAGGAAUUUGCAGUUUAGGGGCUAACCGGGGGGGAGGCUUCUUGGAUUUUAAUCACCGAUGCUCGAUAUAUGUUUUUCUCUUGAAUAUCUUGGCCAAUAUAGGAGAUUGGGCAAUGGCCAUCAUCGAAUUUUGGUGUUCGUUUACUAUUCUUAUGCUUGAGGACAAGCAUGGUUUAGGUGUGGGGGGAAUUGAUAUGUUGCAAUUUAUUCAUUUAUUUUAUUAUUAAUUCCUCCUAUUACCUGACUUGAUGUGGAUUUAUUUGCUGGAUUCUACUCAUUUUUAGUAUUUGACGUUAUUUCAGGGAGUAGAAUAUAAAUAUGAUAACAGGUGUCAAAUUGGCAGAAAAGAGAAUUCAGAUGAUUAAGCUUGUGCCCAGAGGCACUUUUGGAACAGAAGAUGUCACGCCCAUUUUGGUAAUUUUCGCACAAGGAACGACGGACGGAGGGCUUCUCUUCCUGUUGAUGUGCCGCAAUUAAAGAAAGAGAAGGAGGAGGAAGUUGGAUAGUUUUUUUUUCCUUAGUUCUGGCCGGCUGAAGCUUAGGAGGAAAGCUUGACUUUGGUCUUCCCUGGGACUUACUUUUGAGCUUUAGAAAACUAGAGAAAAAGCAUUUGUUAGCUUUGAGCUUUGACUUUUCUUCUUUUAUUUUGAAUCCUGCGCAUGGCUGGAACAAGAGGAAUUACUUCCUUUGACCCUUCUUUAGCUUAUUGUAGCUUCUGGUCUCCACGCAUGUUAGGAGCAAAAAGUUGGAGCCCACCUUCUUUAACUUUUCCACCUUGUUUCUCUUGAGUGGCCCUGCCCCACGGAUGCUAGCAACAAUAAAGAAACUCAAUUGUCACUUGUAAUUGUCGCGUGCCUUAUAUAAGUGUUCGACGAAUUGCGGAUUCCUAAGAUGCAGACUAAGGCGUGACUCUGGCUGAAAUUUCCUGCGGGCUUAGUUCAACCAAUAUGCUAAUCCCCUCAUUCUAGUCAAGAAACGACGGAUGCUUUGAUUCGCCUAAAAAUUGUGAGAUCGAUUUAAUUUAAUCUUUCCCUUUUAUUUAUUGGUAUUCGUGUAUUCCUUGUUUGCUACGCUUAUUGGUUAUUCAAUUAAUUGAUUGUCAUGGAUCCGGAUAAUUAAUUGAUCUGAUAGCCUAUUGUCAACUAGGACAUUUAAAUCCGUAAUUGUUUGAUUGUCCUGAAUUAGUGACGACUGGCACGAUUAGCUUCGUGUCAGGGAAUACACGGGCUAACUUAAAAUAACCAUGGUAGUGUGUUAUUUGGUUAGAAUAGGGCUCUUCUAAUACGUAAGGCAGUUGGGAAAUUAAAUCUUACGGGCGUACCUAGGAUUAUUCCCCAAUUAGAGCAGUGAUUAACGGGCGUACCUUGAUCACCGACACAGUAAGGAGGGGUUGACUGCCAUCGCUUGCUUGGUAGUUAUAACCUAUUUAUUGAUAAGUAAUUGGGAUUGCCUUUGUUUCGAUGAUCAAUUAGGUGAACCAUUGCUGAAGUUAUUUCUUGGCUAGAUCUUUAAUUAAUAUUAUCUUGAUUGUAGUGAAUUGCCAUUCGGCUUUUUGGUUGUCUACGUUAUUUCCUUUUUAAUUGUUUCCUUGUUUUAAUUGAUUUAGGCCUUUAAUUCUUGUUAUCCUGAGUUCAGUAAAUUGUGGUUUAAUUUCUAAUUAGUUGUUUAUUUUUAUUUUUCUCAUUGGAAUUUUAGUUAAUUAUCGUCGUUCCUACAAAAUCAUCCCCUGUGUUACUUUGGAUUUCUUAAGAAACAAAUAUACCCAGUCUCUGUGAUACGACCCUACUUGCGCCUGUCUACAAUUCAUAAUUAUUUGUGAAAAGGAAUAACCAUUCCAUUCGGGUAUAUCGGAUCAAGCAAAUUCUUCGGAAUAGGGUGAAUCAAGUAACCCAUUGCACACCUAGAGUCCCUGCUCCAGUACUUGGAAUUGGGUUUUGGUCAUUUUAACUGGCAAUUAGGUUUAACUUUAUUAUUGCACAGGUUUCGACAACCUGUCAAUAUAUGACUAUCAUUUUUUGAUGUAUAAAAAUGUACAAACAAAUAUUUUUGUUUAAAGUCUUCGUUUAAAUAGAAUUAAUAUUCUUAUGGAAGAAAUAGCAAGAGAAGUCAGACAUUCAAAUUAGAUAGAAGUGUAUAACGUGAACAAGCAUAUUGAUUAUAACAUAUUUGUGUUGGAAAUUUUGCCUUAAAUUUAAGUGUUCUUCAUAUGCAUUUUCCUAAGCUUAAUUAAUACAUUCAUUCCCUUUUAGAUUCAUUCUUGUAUUCAUGUACCUUCUAGGAUUCAUUCCUUUUAGAUUCAUUCUUAGAUUCAUGUUCCUCUUAGAAUUUACUAGUUCUUUCAUAUAACUUCUAAAUUCAUGUACUUUGUAAUAAUGAUGGUACAUGCAUCUCUAUUCUUGUGUUCCUAUAAAUAGAGGAUUUGGAUUUUCAAUGUAAAAGUAAAUUCUAUUUUUAUUCCUCCUUCUUACAUGUAUUUUUAUUCUUUUCGGAUCACACUUUGGUUCCAAGUAAUCCAUUACAAGGUCAAAACUUGAUUUGUGAAUACACGCGAUCGAUGCUAGUCGUUGUUCUAUCUUGGAAAGUGACCACUUAGUGACCCAUAUUGCACCAUGGACAUAUUCCUGUGGGAGUAAGAUCACUUUUACGGGCAAUAGGGUAUCCUACAUUUUGAUUUUCCUUCUAGUCGUCAAUUACUCUAUUUCUUUGAAUUCUUUUCCUAAAUCAGAGUACUUGCAUUCUAACAAUUUGAAUCUUAUGAAGUUCCACAUUUUACAUUAGUGAUUUUGCAGAGUGCCCUAUAUAUAGGACCACAAGUCAAUACUAUAAACAAAGCCAAAUAGUAUGUGAACAAAAGGUCAUGGAAUAAGUGACCACGUUAAGGAACAUGUAUCUGCCACCAAGUGGUUCCGGCAAUAGCAUUCUAGGUGGAAGGUCACCUGCUUUUGAUGGAGAAAUCAACUCACAAGUAAACCAAACCCCACCAUCAUAUCCACACCUAAAUUUACUCCUACUAGAAGUUAUUAGUGUGAAUUAAUUAAUACUUUGUUUUUUCCUAAUUUCUUUUUAUUGAAAAAAAAAUUAAACAUGGUUAACUCUUAUUUGUCCUUUCGAUUACAUUCAUGGAUCAUAUGAUAUGAGAUUAUUGACUUGUACAAUGCCUUGUUUGUUUUUAAACCAACAACUCCGUAGUUGUGGGUUGAACCAAUACUUAAACUUGUGGACCAUAAUUGAAAUGCUUGUCCUUUUUUUCUGAAAUUCAUCGAUCACAUGAUAUGAUGAUUUGUCUGUUUUUUAUCGACAGUUUUAUAGUUUUGAGUUGAUUUAACGCUUAAACUUGAGAUGACUGACUUUUGUGGAUUGAUUUAACAUUUAAAUUUGGAAGCCAUAUAACAUGAGAUAAUCAAACCAGUAACAUUAUGGUACUGAAUUGAACUUGUGCACAUGGCAAGAGGACUUGUCUCAUUAAAAGUCACAUCCUGUUAUUCAUAAAACAUAUUCUUGAUCUCAAGUAAAAGGAAGAAUUCUUUAAUAACAAUGAUGGCAAUGGGAAACUUUUUAAAUCAUGACCUAUUAUUACAAGUAAAGGAGCUGCUUUAGAAAUAGGAAACAAUCCCAAAUGAAAAAUCCACCUACAUAAGCUACUGCUUUAUCUACACCUUCAUUUCAAGGUUUCUAGAACCUUUUCCUCACAAGACUAAAAAUAUCUUUCUUUUCAGUUUCCAUGAUUGCUGUGUACUGGUGGGGACAAAGACAGACAUUGACAGAUAAUGACUGUAACCUUUUAUUUCUUCUCAAUUUUUGUUAUAGUUUGUAAUAUACUUUCUGAUGCAUUUGAAGAUUUGCCCCACUUAUUUUGACCUCCAGUGCCUUGCCAUUUCAAAGCCAUUCUUGGCAUAAUGAUAAUCCUCUUCAGUUUGAUCAAUUUCAGCCUGUGUAUUCAUGACAAAGGGACCGUAUUGAACUACUGGUUCAUUCAGUGGCUGCCCUCCUAUUAGAACAAAUCUCAGUGGCCUGGAAGACCUGUUCCAUACACUGAGGCCUUCUCCAGGACCCAAAAGCAAAGCAUGGUGAGCAGCAACAGGUGAUGAAUUCGGUAUUCCAAACACCCUUCUCCAUCAAUUGUGUACACAAAAGCAUUCCAGGAUUCUGGGAUGCUUUGAUGAUAUUGAGCUCUUGGUUUCAGAGUGAAAUCCAAGUACAUUGUUGGGGUUCGCGUAUAAACCGGAGAAUGGACUCCCAUUGAUUCUCCUGCUUUACUUUAACUUCAACUCCAUCUUCCUCUGCCCUUGGAAUGUCCUCAUCCAGCAAUUCUUGAUACCUUGGCUCAAUCCUGCAAUGAGUACGGAGGGCGAUUUUAUUAGAGGAAAGUAGCAAUAAGUCAAUAUUUACGGACUAAUGAUGUACUACUGUUGACAGUGCAUUAGGCACCAGUACCAUCCUUACUAAAAAAGAUUCUGAAAUCAUUAGGCACUUAUCUGAACCUUAGUGGAUCAAAUAGAAGGGCUUAUUGAUCAACACCAAUUCGCAGAAAGUAGCCUUCUAGAACACCGUGUUUAAACAUGACUUUCUAAAAUUAAUGGAGUAAUGUCACAAUCCACAAAUAGCCUGCUAAAUGCUAAAAUUCGAUGUCUUAAUCAGAAAGGUAAUCUACAUAUAUUCUGUGCGGUACAUGUGUCUGGAAUCAGGUCAAAAUGGACUAGAAAACGGACAUGCCUGGUAACUUACAUUUUGUCCUUGGAAGCAAGAUUGAUCCAAAGCUGCAGGCCUGUCUGUGUACCUCCUGCUGCAGGCAUUUCCGAAUGAAUUAUGCCUCUUCCUGCAGUCAUCCACUGCACAAAACCCCACAUAGGAAUUGCUUACUACUGAAUUUUUUCAUUAGUUCUUGAAUUAGCAGUACAAUAAUUCAGUGAAAAAGUUGUAAGAAAGGUAUGAAAAUUUACCUGCACAUCACCGGUGCGGAUUGUGCCCUUGUGACCAGCAAAAUCUUGGUGUGUAAAAGCUCCCUAAAGAAAACAAGGCCCAAAUUUCCGGUCAUACAUAAAUUCUGGUAAUCUAGGACAGAAUUUCAGGUACAAAAAGUCGGUCUCUUUACCUGCAACAUGUAUGUAACAGUCUCAAAACCUGCACAAUAUCAGGGAGCAGAAAGUAAGAUAACUGAUCAAAUCCAACGUAUGGAAAACAGAAUCAGGUAAUUUGAUUGAAACAGAGUUGAAUGUAUGUGUCAUGAACCUCUGUGCGGGUGAUCCGGGAAUCCAGCAGGGGGUGAAACUGCAAGAACACAUUUGAAUCAACAAUCAAAGACCAAAUUAAGCAACAUUUUGCUUUUGGGCAAAAAUUAAGCAGCACUGAAACUGAUAAAACAGUGUGAAACGCAUCAUACAUCAAAAUAUAAAGAAUGCGUUACCAAAUUCAGCACAAAUUCAAGAAUUCUGUAAAAGUUCUAUCCAAAGAAUCAUGAAGAAAACCAUAUGCAGAGUUUUAUUUCAGAAACACCAUAAUCAAGAACACUAGGAUUUUAGUAAAUUGUACCUGCAAAUUCAUCCAACAUGAGGAAAGGAUCAAUAUACUUCAGUUCGGACCUGUCCAUCCAUUCAACCAAACAAAAUUCAGAGAUAAUCAGAACCCAUGUCACCAAAUGUUCCAAAAACGCUCAAAAUCAAAUGAAUUUCAGAAAACAAGAAUGCAAGAAUUUACGAAACCACGUUCCCGGAUGCAAUGCCUACGUAUUACUACAACAUAAUUUCAUUAAACAAACCAAAAAAACCCACAAAAAAAGAAGAAAUUACCUGCCAAUGCUCCUUCUAACAACAGCACCAUCUCCUUCACUCUGUGGCUUAGCCAAGACUUUCUUGACAACAAGUCUUGGACUAUCAAAACCAGAGCUUUGAUCUGACGACGUAGACAUGGUUAUUCCUCUGAUAAAACUGUAAACUCCCUUGUUGUUUCUUGUAUUUGCAAUUCUUGUUGGAUGCAAAUUCACUAGAAAUUGUCUAGACAAAGCUCUCAUGUAAUAUUUGCUUGUGCUUGAUUUUCCAACUCUUGCUCUUCUUGUCUAUAUAUAUAUAUAUAUGGACACGCCGAACAAGAAAAGAUGGCCGUGGUGUUCCCGUAUAAUUUUAGUGUGUGAGUGUGUGUAUUUUAUAACGACUUUGGGGAUGCGGGAAGCCAGGAAGGCUGGGGUUGGUUAGGAAUCUAAAGGGGGCGUGGGGAAAAUUGGAAAUGGGGUCCACUUCUUCCUCUUUGGACCAAUGAUUUGAUGACAUCAUACUCAUGUCACCAUGAUGGUGGACUACUAGCCUGAGCCGUUGGCCCAAAAAAAAAAAGAAGAUUUACUCAAAGUAAAAAACAUAAUUUAAAAUAUGAAAAUAUGGGUCUAUUUCUGACCCCCGAAGGAAGCUUUAUUAGGAUUUGAAUCUAUUCCAAAAGUUUUUCCUUUUGGGCAAAAUUUUUUUUAGCUAAAUGAUAUAUUAACUGAUUGAAUAACAUUUACUUGUUGGGGGUGAAGAUGUAAAAAUCUUUUUUUUUGGGGGUAAAGGUAAAGUAUGCUUCUGUAAAUGGGGAAGUGGAUUAAUUUAAAAUUUUAGGGUAUUUUACGUGACAGCAUGGCAAGACUUCAUUGAAAAAUUAACCAAAGAAAAAAAAAUAAUAAACUUUGGCAAUCAGCCAAAAAAAAUUUUGAGGUCAAUUUAAUAAAGUGUUUGACUUUUGGGGGGAAAAAUGAAAAAAGAAAGAUGAUGAACUAAAAGCCAAAGGGAUGGUUGAAAUUAGCUACAAGUGGAUAACUAAUAUUUAGCCCAUGCAUUAGAACUGAUUUUUUUAAUUAUAAUUAGUUAUGUAUCGAUGCAAAACAUAAAUAAUUCAUCAACAAUGUUUAUACAUAUUAUUCACGUUUGUAUUAGAAAAAUAUUGUAUUUCAAACAUAACUACCAUAUUAGCCUUUACAAACUUUUAUACAUAAAUUUAUUAGAAUGUGAUAAUAUUCAUUAAAUAAUAUAAUACAUAAAAAAGUAAUAGGUAUUCUUUGAGAUAGUAAUUAAAUUUUGGGAUAAUUUCAGAAACCUCCCCUGAGGUUUCUGACAUUUACACUCACCUCCCCUGUGGUUUGAACAAUUACACUAACCUCCCCUGAGGUUACUAAUCCUUUACAAAUUCAGUCCAAAUGAUUAAAAUAUUGUUUUAUAGAGUGAAAUUAGAAUUUUGUACCUGAUUUGCCCUUUGUGCUACAUGUCCAAUGAAUGACAAAGUAUUAAAAAUUAAUUAAAAAUUAAUAAAUUUUAAAGAGCGUAGUUUAUAGGCAAAUACGUAUUACUUAUUUAAAGUACCACCUCUUUACGGGUAUUUUACUUUCAAACAUUUACUUUAUUACAAAUAUUUAUUCUCAAAUACAGAUUUGUAUUUAUUCUCAAAUAUUUAAUUUUUGUUAAAUAAAAAACCUACCAGUUUUUCUUUCGUAGAAAUAUUAAUAUAACACUUUUUCAAUUUUAGUUAUAAAUAUUUAUGUAUUUAGCAUAAAUUAAAUGAUUCAGGAUAAAAUACUCAUAAAGAGCUAAUACUUUACUCAUGUAAUGGAUGAAAACCAUAAAAAAUUAAUACUUUAUGGGCCAUUUCUUUUUUUAAAAAAUAUUUAAUUUAUAUUAAAUAGAUAACCUACUGAUUUUCUUUUUACGAGAAUAUUACUGUAACACUUUUUAAUUUUUAAUCACAAAUGUUAAUAUAUUUGUAAUAAAGUAAAUAUUUGAAAGUAAAAUACCUGUAAAGAACUGGUACUUUAAAUAAGUAAUACAUAUUUGCCUAUAAACUACGCUCCUUAAAGUUUAUUAAUUAUUAAUUAAUUUGUAAUACUUUGUCAUUCAUUGGACACGUAGCACAAAGGGCAAAUCAGGUACAAAAUUUUAAUUUCACUCUAUAAAACAAUAUUUUAAUCAUUUGGACUGAAUUUGUAAAGGAUUAGUAACCUCAGGGGAGGUUAGUGUAAUUGUUCAAACCACAGGGGAUGUGAGUGUAAAUGUCAGGAACCUCAGGGGAGGUUUCUGAAAUUAUCCCUUAAAUUUUCUCAUGAAAAUAAUUAUACACCUAUUUAUAUUCAUUUUUAGUUCAGGACCAAAAAAAAAGGCAGCAAUCUAUUUUUAUAUGAAUGGUUUUUUAAUUUGAACCAACGUUAAUAAAUUUAACAAUGUAACAAUUAAAUUUACACUAAGAAAAGUUACUGAUAUGGAUAAAAAGUAAAAAUUGAUUAAAUGCGAUAGAUGUUGCUAGAAUGGAGAGAAAUUAUAAGCGAAAUUGAUUAGAGGAGAUUUAGAUGCAAAAAUAGGUAAAAUCUAAGUAUUCAUUCGUCGAUUAAUUCUUUUCAAUUAAGCACAUCACCUAGGAUAGAGAAAAUGAUUAAUUGAAGUGAGAACUUUCAUGAGUCUAGCCUCUAGGUAGGGUUUAAGUUCAGAUCUAUAUCAUGACAUGAAUCAAGCAAAAUUAGAUCCUAUCCAAACCCAUGAUUUUGGUAAAGGAUCUGAAUCUAGGUAGAGUUUACGUUGAAAAGUUGGAUCUAAAUUCAAGAAAAACACAAUAGACCUGAGUUGCGAUUGGUAAUACUCUACCCAUUUUCAUGCUUACUAGUAUUAGCUAUUGAUAUGUACAUUGAUGUUUUAGAACAACUACCCUUUCUAAUCGAAUACAACUACUAAUCAAACAAAUACCACUAUUUGUCUUUUUGUGUUUGUUUUUUAUCUUGAUUUUGCCAACUAACAAGUUCCGAAGAAAAGAUCUGGUCUUCCUGUGUGCUGUCCAUGUUUAGACGUAAUUGACAAGAAUUUUGAAAAGGUUGGAAGAUAAGAAAGAGUCCAAAUUGAGUUUCUCAAAAAAAAUUUUGAACCUACAAACUUUUUUAAAUAAAUUUAUUUAAGAAAAUCUCAUGAGAUCUUGAGGGUAAAAUUGUGAAUGGUUAUGCAUUAACCCCAAUUUAUUAAAAUGAAGUAGAAGAAGUUACAAGAAGAGGAGAGCGAGGAAAAACCUAGCACCCAUAAAAAUCAAUUACAAUAUUGAUAUCAAAAAAAAAAAAAAAACCGCCCUUUAUUAAAGGAGGUAUAUUAGAUUUUUGAACUACAAAUAUAUUGUGUCAAAUUACUCUCUCAUCAUACCCAUUAUUUCAUGGUUAAUUUGUUAUAGGAAUGUUGACAAUAUGGGAAAAUAAUGCUGAAUUUGAAAGUUUUGUUGACUUGCUACAUUAUUUCUUCUUUUCACAUCUGUUUUUUGAAGUGUCAAAAUGACUAUUAUGUAGACUUUAAAGAAGAGAGGACAAAAUGUUAAAAUUGAUAAGGGAAAAAGAAGUGUGAUUGUAAAGAGAAUAAUAAAAAUUUUGUAAUUAUGAUAAAAAUCGAGGAAAUAUGGUGAUUUAUUCAAAUUACGAUAAUGUAGUGGACCUGUAUUGAAAAAGUUCGGAAUUGAAUCAUGCACGCCUCGAAUCUUUGAAAUUGAAGGACUCUGUUAGUAUUCUUUCUUUUUGGUAGCAGCACAUAUCAGCGAUCCUCCAAUAAAAGUAGAAUUAUGAAGAUUGAAUAUGAUUUGAAUAACAAAUAUCACAAAUUUGCCCUAUUUAUCCAACGUGUGAUCAAUGUCACAUAUUUACAAGGUAACAAGUGUUUUUUUUUUUUUUGGCAUUUUAGAAACAUAAGGUUAAAUUGAUAAAGACUCAAAGAAGCGAGAGAAAUACAUGAGUGUUUUUGUUUAGAUAGUAAAUUAUGUUGGUACAUAUUAUAAAUUACCGAUUAUCGAUUGGACACCUAUAAAUUAAAAUCAUCUUAAAUAUGAAUGAUAUGAAUUAUAAUUACUCUUACACAUUUUUAAAUAUUCUGGUUAAUCUCUAAUAAAUGGCCUAUAUGAGAUCAUAUACGUCAUCCAACAAUCAUCAAUACCAUCAUUUUCACACUUUGGAAUAUGCUACUUAUACAUAUCCACGCCAGAAUAAUAGAACACCCGUAUGGGUUCUGAUGUAAGGUUUAUGUCCCUAUAACGUCAAUGGCUGUUCUUCCUCUGUACUACCUUAUUUGUGCUGUUUUUCCAUCUGUGAAUCAACUAAUCUGAUUAUUGAAAACGAAGUCAAUUGUAUGAGAAUCACGUAAAGAAUUUCAGCAAAAUUUUGUCAUACUUUCCAGCUUGCAAAAUGGGUCCUCGGAAUACAACAGUUUCCACUUGAAAAGAAAACAGAAAAGUUUUCUUGGUCUCAGAUAAGGAUCGAAAGGAAAAAAAGGUGCAGAUUAGUUUAGUGUCAUUAUCUCAUUUAUGGUAAUGUUUUGGAUUAACAGGGUUUGAUUCUUUUUGAAACCAAUUUUCAAGUUAAAAUUUUGCUUAAUAACUGAAUAAUUAGUAGCCUUAAGCUACUGCUACAGACUAAUUAUCAACUGAAAUUGUGCGCUUCAACUGUUUUUUUUUUUUUUUUUUUUUUGCUACAAGAAGAAAAUACAUGAUAGCCUUGCAUUUGGAAAUUCUAGGGUUAAUGUCCACAAUGUAUUAUUGUUAAAAAUGCAUUUAUUUCAGGGGUUAACAUUCCACUUGUUGAUUGUGGCAUAGAAAGGUAAAAACAAAAAAUGAAUAUAUUCAUACUUUUUUAGUAGCUAUCACAAAUCCUCUAGAGUACAAAUCACCAAUCCACUAUUUAUUCGGGUUAAUUUGCAAAGUGGAAUCGUCACCUAUUUAUCCUUAUUUUAUUUAACUGUGCUUGUAUGUAUCCGGCUUGUCUUUCUCCUGCAACAGAAAUGGAUCUUUGGCAGAAAUUAAAUGCAUGCGCACCUUCCAAGCAUCAACAUGGAAAAUGAGUCAUGCCAACUAUACCAUGUUGUCAUUGUUGAGUGUUAGAAUUUGGAGGCAUAUGUCAUUUUUUUUUUUUAUUGGAAACCGGAUCAAAUCAGAACUUUGGAAUCUCUUGUUUUUGGCAAAAAAAAAAAAAAAAUUGCAAUUUUAGUUCCCAAAGUUUGGAGAGGAGCUAUUCUAGUUCUCAAAGUUAUCAAAACUUACUCCACAUGAUGAUUCUCUACUUUUGACUUAGCAAAUAUAAUGAAAUUUACUCCUUUUCCAAAAUCAACCUACAUGAAGGAAUAACAUAAACUCUUACUCAUAGAGGGAUUUAUAAUUAUUCUUCUAUCUGUUAAUUAUAGAUCUAUUAUUUUUAGUGUAUGUUUAUCUCCUAUCAUUAGUGCAGAUUUUUAUAAUAUAUAAAAAAAAAAGAUCGUAUUGGACGAUUUCUAAUAAUUUUGUUAAUGAAAUUCACUUUUAUCCCAAAAAAAAAUUCUCAUUUUGAUUCUUAUUUAGAUUCCACAAUGAAAGGCAAAACAACUUCUGAAAUGACAUAAAUCAUACAUAAGCAUUGCGCUAUAAAUCACACCUAGGCAUUGCGUGUGCCAAAUUGGACCGACAAUGAAAUGAAAGCCGGCCGCCGACAUUAUUGGAAAUUUCUAAAGGAAGUGAAUUUGCAUGAUUCGUGCAUGCACCUCAUGCAACUUUUACGCUUUUUCCACUCUUCUUCCCCUCUUUCCUCUUUUCAGCCAUAUCUAAAUAGAGUAUUAUAUAUACAUAUUCAAUUAGAUCCAUCUUUCAAACAUAUCUAAAAUGAGGAUUAUAUGUUUGGAUCGAGUCUUUUACAAAAUAGUAUAAUUUAUGUGCUUUUAUACCAGUCUAGUAAUCACAAACUAUAUACAGAUUCAACUCCAUCUUAGAGAAAUUGCUAAUUUGACUAUUUAUAGUUGGACAAUCCAAUUUUUGGAGCAAACUUUUACAUUUUUUCAGUGAUCUCCUUUGAAAAUUUCCAUGUUACAUACAGAUCAGAAUAUAAAAAAGAAAAAAUGCAGCACUGAAUACCAAAAAAAUUUUUAAAAAAAAAUUCUAUUUGAGCUGAAAGAAAGUCAUAUGAAAAUAUAGAGAAAUUAAAAGACAACUACAUUUUUCAAUUGGAAAGUGGACUACAAUUUAGGACAGACGAAAAAAGAAAACAUGACUAUCAAAGUGGGACAGAGUGAGUAUUAUCUUGAGAUCAUUAAAUUCUACCUAGAAAAAUGGAAUGCUAUCAUAUUAAACCAAAACCAACGAUAGAUUAAUACAUAAGUUCCUGCGAAAGUUAAAUUUCAGUGAUUUACUCGUUUCGAGUAGCGAUUUUUUAAUUUGGCAUUAUUUUUUUGGUAAAUAAUACGGAUCAUUUAUUUUAAUAACAUUUAAGUUGUUAUUUCACCAAACUAUUGUGGAAUUUUUAAUAAACUUGGAAUGCUUGUCAGCCUAUCUAGUUGAAGUCCUUCUUUUUAAUUAAUAUAUAUUUAAAUCUGUAGUAAGACAAAUCCCUUCUUGUGUGCUCAUUUGUCGCCAUCAUACUGAUGGGAUAGUUGCAAUUGAAUUGCUAUAUUAAUUGGUCGUAUCACAGCCUGGAUUGUUGGUCAACCUCUGUAUCUGCCUUUAUUAUUGGUUCGUCUAUGUCUGCUUUCAAUAGCUGUCAUAUUUUCAAAUAACAAUAUAGAUUUUACGUAUUCAAUUAGAAUAGAUUUUCAGUUCUAGAGUUGAUUAAUGUUGUCUUUGGUCAAAAAAAGGAAAAUAAAAAUUCUGCAGUCAAUAGCCAUCAUAUUUUUUUUAAAAAUAAAAUUAUGCGUAUAAAAUUCAAUUAGUACAGAUUUGCUGCUCUUUAAGUUCUUGGAUGUUUAUGCCUCAUUCGUUUAGCUUCAAAUGCAUACGUUACUAAGUCCGAAUCAUUAGCCUCUCAUAUUUGUUUGGGUUAUUCUUAAAAAAUUUGGUGUGUGCUAUACAUUAGAAAUAAAUAGUCAACUUUGUCGCCAUGAACCAUGCGUUUUGUUUGGUUUUUUAUAAUCUUAUUUAGUUUAUCGUCUUACUUACUUGAUUAAAGAAAUGGAUAAUAAAGUAAUGAUUUAAUUAACAUUUUGAUUUACUUUGUAUUAGCUAUAAGUAUAGGUAAUAAGUGAUUUUCCCUUUAAUGUCACAUUAAACGCACUAGAUUACAAAUUCUUUGUAUCUUAAGUUUGAUUAGCAUAACAAAACCAAAAGAAGAGUGAUAAUUGUUAAUAUUCAUGUGCGAAAAUGAUUAGUAUAUUAUGUAUAUUUUUAUAUGGUCCAAAGAGGGAUUUCAAGUCUUAUAAAAGGGACAUAGGAAAGGGUUUCAAAUGCUAGCAAGACAUUUUAGUAAUAAAACUGGUUUAUUUUUUCAGUUAAAACAACCAAAAGUAAAGUUUGAGCCACUUGAAGUAAUGAAUGUUGAUAUUGUGCUAAUAAAUCUAAUGACUUUAAUAUAAAAAGAUUAUGAAACAUCUUUUUGACGUAAAGAUACAACAUUAGGCAAAUGAUUUUGAAACUUUAAUAAAUGUUUGAGGCAUUAGACAUUUAUUCUUUGUUAAAUAACUUGUGAGAAGAAGUAAAACAUUAUUUUUGUCUACAUGUUUCAUAGACUUGGGAGAAAAAAUCUUUGUAGAAGAUGAACUUGGUAAAUAGGAUAUGAUAUUUUUCAUGUAGAAAAUAAUAUUACGAUUCCAAACUAUCAAUAUUUUUACUUUACCAGCUCAAACUAUUAAUUUCAAGUGCACUGCUCAAGUUAAGCUAAUGUCAAACAAGAAUAGAUGUAAUAAAAGUUUUAACCCUCAUAGAGAACUCCUCAAAGUACCUAUAUAUGUUUUCCAUUCCCCAUAUUUCCCUCAAAGAGUUCUUUUUUUUUUUUGGUCUCACUCUUCUUGCUUCCAUCCUCCAAUGGCAAUCCAAUCUGGCCCCUCUUCUCCUGAUUUCUUUCUUCUUAUCCUCUUCUUGACUAACCUUAUCUCUUUUUUUUUUUUUUUUUUUUUUUUUUUAGCAAACCCCCACACACAUGUUGGAAAGGAACUCGAUUUUUUCCUGAGAACAUUGAAAAAAUCCAAAAUAGCAUUUGAACCCUUCUUAGGCCCUAUUUAGAAUUGUAGUGCUUUUGAUAAAAAAAAAAAGUACUUUUCGAUGUCAAAAGUACUUUUGAAAAAACACCAUCCCAUAAAAUUAAGAGUUGAACUUUUGAUGUUAAAAGCACUUUUAACAAAAACUCAAAUUUAGAACUUUUACAAUAGUUUUUGUGUUUUAAAAAAUAAAACAUUAAAUUUAAUCAUUUAUUAUUUUAAAGAAUGUGAUAGUUCAUAGUUCUCUCUACUUAAGUAAUAAAUCAUGCAAAUCUAGAUUCAUAUUAAGUUUCGUUGUUAACUUCCUUCUUUCCUUUUUUUUUUUUUUUUGUUUUGUUUUGUAAGGAUGUUCUUCUUUAGUAGUUGGUUUAAAGUGUUGAAAUUAUUUUUUUGAUAUAUGAUAUUGAACAUUAUUUUGCUACGAUGUGACAAAUUAAUGCUACAAUAUAGUAGCUUAUUGAAAAGGUCUGUUUGCAUGAAGUAACGAGUAGACUACUUGUUUGCUACCUUGUCAUUAAUUGUUCUAGAACUAUUCCCAAAUAUGUGUUUGAAGUAUAAUAUAGGAUAAGGUAAUCAUUCUUGAGACAUUGGUGGGUAAAAUAUGAGAAAAAUAAAGUAGAAUAUCUCUAAGUAAAGAUUCUCCACCUAUGAAGCUACAUUAUCAAUUACUACCUACUUACAGAACUACAAAAAAAAUAAUUGUUUAAACAAAUAUGUGUUCAAAGUAUAAUUAGGAUAGAGGUAAUAGUUAUACAAGCAAUAGUAGAUACAACAUGAGAGGGAAAAAACAUGAGAGAAAAAAAUUGAAGUAAAAUAUCUCUAUGUAAAGAGUCUCCACCUAAGUUCCAAAACAACUAAGUCAUGAUGUUCCCAUCUUUCAUGAAGUUGGAAAUGAUCUAGCACUUUAGAUUUGUAUAAAUAUUUUUGAGGAUAAAUCUCUGUGCCUAGCUACAUGAUUGGAUCUGGGUAUUGGUAAAAUAGAUUCUUCCAUCGUUUCAUUGCGCUUUAAAUGGCAGCUUGAUUCUGGGCUGGACGAUAGGCAAAUAUUAAACACAUUAAAAGGAAUGAUGACUAAAAUUCUAGUCUAAACUUGAAAUUAGGCAAAAGUCCAUUUGGAUUCACCAAUUUAGAAAGAAUUUUUUGUAUUACUUAACAAAUAUGUUUUCAAUCACAUCUUUAUUAUAUCAAUCAAUUUUAAUCUCACAUAAAAUAUAUCACAAAAACAAAAAUGAUAUAGUAUCAUUUUUAAACAAAUUUAUCCAAAUAAAUUUCAUUCCAAACGCAGCUUUUUUUUGGACAAGGGAACUGUAACCGCUACCCGAGAGUACGUACUGAAUAAACCCGUCCCGUACAAUAACCCACUAACCACACAGAGGGAUGAAACACACUAGGGAAGCCCUAUGCGACGUGCAGAUGUUUCAAGAGAAAUUCGAACUCAGGUUGAUAGAAAUGCAUAACAUCAAUUCUACUAUUUCAACCAACUCAAGGGACAAGAAUAGAUUAGUGUUGAUACUUAAGUUAACCACUGAUGUCAAUAACUUUUAAUUUAGACACAUAAAAUGGGAGAAAUCGCAUUUAUAACUUAAUUAGUGGAACACUAAUCGGUGUUUAUGAGAUUCUUAGUUGGACUCUCCCUUCCUCCUUAUAAUGCUUCAAGUCUCCCCUUCAAAAAAAAAAAAAAAAAAAGGGAGUAGAAUACUAAGCAUGCCUUUGAAUUUAGACCCCCUAAAGUGCACCUUUAAUUUGCAAGGUUUAAAAGUUCAAGUGGAGUCCAUGACUCAAUGCAUUAUAUAUCCACUCAAUGGCUUUUAUAUCUCCUCCACUUAAUAUUUGAGCAAAAGGCAAUACAUAACUUUUUUUGCACACUCAUCACAAAUGACAAAAACAAAAACGAACUGAAAGAAGAUAAGUGAUAGGUCGGCUCAAGAUCAUGUAUCUGGAUAUUCUCCAAUAUGCAGAAAAAGGACAUGAUUCUAAAAAGUGAGUUUCAAGAUUUUAGUGAGUCAACUUCUAGAAGCUUAGUGUUGAGGCUUAGAAUGUCAAAGUUGAGUUGACCUUGGAAAAGUAGUGCUUUGAGAGAAUUUUGUACACCAUCAUGGCACAAAUUUGGAUGAUGGGUUUCAUAGAUAGGGGCUGCUACUGUUUUGUCAAAAAGACAAAAAAAAAAAAAAAGAAGAAGAAGAAGAAGAAGAAAAUACUAUACGACAUGAAGAAAAUAAUCUCCAGAUCAAAAACUAAUGAAUCCGUCCAUUCAAUUCCCUUAUGGCACAAGAUAAUUAAGCUCUAAAUCAAUAUUAGAACAAAAAAAUGUUACACUUCUAUUGUUUAAUCGUCUGAGAUUUUAAUUAAGUUUUGAUUGUGCAAAGGGACACAAAUUAGGAAAUCCAUUUUUAUUAAGGGUAGAACUAUUAUUACUAAGCUUACUGAAAAUCGUCCAAGUCCAAAGAGAAUCGAUUAAAGUUCCUGAGAUAUUUUAUUCGAUUUCCUUCGAACCCAAUUAACUUCCGUAGCACCAGAAACUAUCAUAGCAACAACAGAAAAGUGCGCUUAAGUACCGCAACUUGUUUAAUUUUAGAUUGGCCUGUAUCUAGAAGAAAUUUAUGAGUUUUGGCAGAAAUGUCUUUUUAUGAAGGUAAAUGGAGGAGGUAUAAGAAUGCUACUGUGUUGUCUUAAAAAGGAGGAACACCCUUAUGAUGCUCUACUGGUAAAAUGAGCCCAUAAAUUGAAUCGUUUCCGGGGUUGGAAUAGCGUUAAUACAUGAGACAUUGUUUUGGUUUUAGACUUAGAGGUGUAUGAUAGGGAUAAAAAUGAGAAAAAGAACACAAAGGAAACUGAUUUCUCACACGUAUCUUUUUGUAGACUGCUGCACGGAGGAGAGGGCAAGUGUUCUGCUGCGACAACUGAAGUUUACAUGCAAAUUUAAAUGGUGAGACUGUUCUGCAUUUAGCCAGUAUUGGUAUGAGAUUAGCUAUUCAACUAUUAAGCAGCAUUUUCAUGUGAAAAAAAUGUCACUAUUAAGCAGCAUUACUUUCAAAAAGAAUGAAAUCUGCAUUGGUCCAAAACAUUGCCCUAAAAUAAAUGACAUGAAGACACUAGAUCAUAUUUGUUUUUUGUCCUUUUGCUUCAUGUAAAAUUAAUAUAAUAAACAAGAACAUUAAAAUAACUAAUUGGACAAAAUGCAAGAUACAGGACUGACUACGGGGGAACAAGUGGGGUGGGGGGAACCAAAACCUUUUAAUUGAUAAAAAAAAAAAGUAGUAGUGUUGAUGUUGCUGAUUAAGAAAAACAAAAAAAAAAAAAAUGAACAAAUGCUUUUAACUGAUCAAAAGGUUGUGGUGUGCAAUGCCUUAAUUAAAGGGACUCAAAUCACCUUACAAUCAAUCACACUUAAGGACUUAAGCCACCUUACGAUCAAUCAAAUAUUUAAGAUACUUAAAGGUAGAAUUAAAAUUUAAAGACAACGAAAUGAUGAAAAAAAAUUCAUUGAUUAGAAAUACCUGUCUUGAAGCUGUAUUCUUUUAAAGAAUCAACCACAAAUCUUUGUUUCACUCUUCAAUCGACUAUCUAUUGAAACGGGAAUUGAACCUAUACUAAAACUAUUUAAGCUUGAACAGAGAGCUUAAACUAUUAAAAACCUGAAACUAAUCAUGAAGAAAAAGGAAAUGGAACUGAUGUCCUGGCUGAUGUGUGUGUGUGUGUGUGUUUUUUUUUUUUUUUUGGAUAAAACAGAGGCCAAUGUUAUUAAUAAAUUUGGUGGAAAUCGUUUAGCACAUUUUGCUUACUAAGAUAACUGCAUUAAUGAUAGAAAAUACAUUGUACAUGUCACAAAUAUAUCUAAUCUAAAAACUCAUUAUAUUGUGAAUCACAAACCGUCAAAUCUGAUCAAUUGCACAAGCUGCACCAUAAAUAUCUGUGUAUGCCUAUUCCCUCAAAUCUAUUAUCCAACUGGUUCAAGUUCAAAACUGAUGUUAAGGUCUGACUAUCUAUUAAGAAAUUUCAAAUCUAACAUAUUGAUAUGAAAAAACUCUUAUUAGAUCUAAGAAAAAUAACAAAAAAUUAAAUAAAACUCCCUCUAAAAUAGCCUAGGAUAGAAGAAAAUUCUCACUAAUAAACACUAGGAGAGAAAAAAAAAACUCUCACUAGAAUACCCUAAAAGAAACUUUAUUAAAUGUAAAAUAAAAAUAUUAUAGGAAGAGAAAGGGGGAUCUUGACUGGAGACCAAGAUUUCCCUCCUUUUACGGUGGAAUAAGGGUGGCGAGAAAAUUGAGAGUAGAGAGAAAGCAAAAAGAGAACGGGUGGGCAGAGAGGGAGAAAGGUAAUAACUUUUGAAUUAAUUUCUUACACUGACAGUGUGCCUUUUGAAUUAAUCUUUCCUACAUUGACAAUAUACACUGUCAGCAUUGGAUGAAUGACAACAGUACAAAAUUUGAAUUUAAAAUUUAACUUUUACAUAUAUAUCAUAAAUCUAUCGGUGAUAGUGUAUACAUUGUCAAUGUAUACUCGUACGUUUUGGCUGAUGAGUUUGUGUCGCUUAAUCGCAUCCAUUGCUUUUAAUUACCAAUGAUCCUACCGAAGAUGACAAAAUUAAUUGUCAUUAUUGGAUUUUAAUUUUAGUAAAUUACUUUUAUAUGAAUUUAGGAUCCCUAAUUUGUAGCCUCAGCCUCAAUGAUGACCAAAUCACAGCCUAAUUUUUUUUUGCUGGUCGCCCUCUUUCUUAUUUCUUAUCAUGUCUUCUCUUCCCUUCUUGUCUAAUUUGCCACAACUUCAAAAAGGGCACAAGCUGUGGCGACUAGAAUAUUAGUUCCAAGCAAAAAGUGUCUCCAGAGUUAGGAUGCAAGUUGAAGAGAGGCAACUGUUCCGGGGCACACCUUCUUUUGUGAAAAAGCACAAAAUUUUCUUUUUGAAAAAUAACAAUCAAAGCAAAAAAAAUUCUUAAACAAUAUAUAACUGUUCAAGAAACGGUACAAUUUAGAAUUUCUUUUUCGUUCAAAUUUAUAUAAAAAAAAGCACAAUAAUUGAAUUGAAACAAUCACACGUCACAUAUUUUGUUUAUGAGCCCAUUUACAAAGAACGAUUUGAAAAACACGCAAAUAUGACUGAACGUAAUGAUAGAUAUAAAUAUGAGAACUCUAAAUAUACUAUAGUGCUUAGAAAAUGAAUUUCAAAAGAAGAUUAAACCUUCUUCUGCAAGCCUCACGUUUUUGCCUUUCUCUCAACAAAUUGCAAUCUUGCAACUUGCAGGGCAUAAUUGUAACACAAAAACAACUGUAGGACUAUAUGAGGAAAUAUACUAAAUCUGCGGGCGUUUAAUGCAAUUAAUUCUAAUUUAGAUCCUUGUAGAGUCCGUUGCCCUCCACUAAACAGAGCAAGUAAACCUAAGCCAAAUUUCGCCUUCACAACAACCACCACCCCACCAGCGCUGCCGCCGCUGCAGCAGCCGGAAGUAGAAAUUCAACAGAGACUUGUUUCAAAAUGGGGAGUAGGAAGCAGAAAAAUCAGAAGCAGCAGCUUUCAAAAACACCCACCAAAAAGCAUAAAAAUCAAAAGCCUUUGGGGCCUAAGAAAUCCGAAACUGGUAAUAGUAACACCAAUAGCAAAAGCACCAAGUUCAAGAGAAUCGGGAAGGGGGAGAAGAAGAAGAAGAAUCAGAGCAAGGAGUAUAAGGAGGAGAGGAAGAAGAACGAGAAGAAAGGAGUGGAAAGGGAAAACGACGCCGUACAAGUACAGCAGCCCACGCAGUCGCAGCAGCUGAGUUAUUUCCUCCACCAGUAUCAAUCAGCCAAUGGGAUUCAACUUUCCACUCUCGAACUCGAAUCUUUCAAAGGUCUUGCCUGGCCCCGUCUUGCUUAUUUAAUCUAAUUCUUUAGUUUAAUCUUUUCAUUUUUUUUUUGGAAUUUACAAGGGAAUCAUGAACAUGGUAACUGAAACAGUGAAGUGCAUUUCAAAGUUUUGCUUUUCUCAGUAUUUCUUUUUUUCUUGUGUCAAAUUUGCAAUUUUUUUGGCAGUUUUGUGAGUAUAAUAAUUUGACAUGGUUAUCUUUUGCACACCAUCCAAGGUGCAAUUCUUGUAUUACAAAACUGAUCCAGGGCUUUUGCAAUUGUCAGUUUUAAUUCAACCAUGAAAUGUAUGCAAUGUAUGCACAAACACAACAGAUGUAGAUACUAACACAUUAACAGACAAAAACACAACAAAUUUUAUCACUCGUUGAAAGUAGCAUUUGUUGUCAGUUUCAUUUUUUUUUAUUUGUUUGAAUUUACCUUGGAUUUGAGGAAGUUGGAAUAAUUGAUACUAUAGGAAUGUUGAGGUGUAGUUGAUAUUAUUAAAUUUCCGAACCUUGUGUUUUUUUCUUGUCAAAUGUGCUCUGUCUUGGUCAGUCCUACAUUUGCCUCGGUUGUCUUCGACAAUAGUCAUCGCGUGUUGCAUGCAAGACAUGCUAUUUCAGAUUAAAGGCAUUUGUACUCGUUUUUGUAAUCCUUAGGUGGUGGCAUGCAUGUUCGGUUUUUACUUUAAAAGAUGAAUCUGGGCUGCUUCUGCAAUUGCCAAUUUCAAUUGCACCAUACACGCACAAUAGAUGUUGACAUUGACAUAACAAACUUAGACACUAAGACGUUAACACUUAAAAACACAACAAAUUUUGUCAUUCAUUAUAGGUUGUGUUCUACAAUCAAUCCAACUCAUUCGAAUUUAAAUGGAACACAUCUGGACCAUCAACUGCUCCAUGGAAUAGCUCUGACAACUGUAUAGAACUCAAUCCUACAAAAUCCAGUACAAAUGCAUUUGACAUUAGCAUAAAAUUUUACCAUCAUGAGCUAAACGCACCGUUUUCCCUAGUUUGCUCUCCCUUUUUUUUGGGUUUUUGUUUGGUUCACUAUCAUAAGAUCUUUCCUCUUAUGAUACUGUUCUUUUAAAUUUUUUGUUUUGCGUCUUUAUUAUGAUUCUUCUCUUGAUUGAAUGUAUUCUCACAGUAGUUCUGUUGUUUGUUUUGGCAGCAGAUACAUGCAUGGUUGAGUUAAGUCAGAAUGCAGCACAAAAUAAUUUGGGAGAACACAUGAAAACAGCAUUUGGAUCCUCAUUCAAAGAAGUUCUUUGUGAGAAACAGCUUGGAGAAGGGAACGUUGAUCCUGGAAAUCCUGCACUUCUUGUAAUUUCUUUAUCAGCCCUAAGAUCAUUAGAACUUCUCAGGUUAAUGCCUAGAAAUCUAAAAACAUAUUGCUGUAGAAUUUCUGAGAUUCCACAUUCUGUAAUAAAAGAAUCAGUAGCUUCAUUUUUCUAAGCAAGGCCUAGCAAUUAUCAGAAUAAUGUGGUUUUGUCCUGUCUUCACAGGGAAUUGCGGCCUCUGACUAAAGAAUGCCAUGCUGUGAAGUUGUUCUCAAAGCAUAUGAAGAUAGAGGAGCAGGUACACUAGUUUUCCUUUCUUAGAACAGUUUUACUAGGUCUUGCUUUCAUUAGAAACUCUACAAAAGUUAAGGAAUAAGUAGAAAUCGAUUGAUGCCCUUGUAUUGGUGCUAUGAUUGUGAUUAUAAUCUUUAAUUUCUGUGUGCUUGGCUUCUAAGUAUUAUAAGUUGAAAAAGAUUAAAGUUACUGUUGAUAGAGAUAAUUGACACAUAAAGACAUGUCUAGAUUAGGGGAUGGAGAAAAUUAUUCACAUCUACUGUUCAAAUUGGUUUCAGGUUUGGAGCCAUCUUUUAUUGUCUGUCGACUCUUGCAACAGAUUAGAACCUUUCAAGUUUCAAAUAAUAGCUCGGGACUUUAGAUGAGAUCUGAGAUGCAAUUCUAGGCUUAGUCCUCACCAGUAUCAGUAAAGCAUGCACAUUUAUGAACCUGCUGCUGGCCACAAGUAACUCCCUUGUCUGACAAUUUAUCGGUCUUCAAUGACAAACUAGUAAGCCUAAUUUUCUGCUUAGCAUGAACCUGGAAUUAUCAGUUGAAAAAUCACUUGAAAUAGCAUAAAGGAAUAAGUUGUUCAAAAUCCAAUACUUUUAACUUCUGCAUUUUGGCUGUUCACAUAAUUUAACUUCAACCAGGUUUUUGACAAUACCUCGAAAAAUUACAAGGAAAACUUGGUCCUCAUUUUAACUCUGGGCAAUCAAUCACUUAAGGAUGAGGAUCGGGCUAGACUUAGGUAAAGCUAUGCAUUUUAUUUUGGUAAUAGAAAGAAGCAUCUGAGAAGAAAAAAAGCAAGUGGCAACAUUUAAAACAAAUUCCAAACAUAAGAUGUAGAAAUCAUAGAUUGAUAUUCUUCUUCUCAAAUUAAGUAGGUCUUGAUUUUCUGUCAUGGCUUUACGAAGACGGUCCUCUAUAUGCCUGACAAUCCCCUUGUAUGGUCUUGAUCAUUAGCUCUGCUUCUACAAGAAGAGCACUAACAUUUUGUUUUUGUUUUUUAUUUUUUCCUCUCUGUCACUGAUCAUUAACUUUUUUUCCCUGUUUGCACGGUUUUUUCCCCACUUAUAUACUUGGUUGUUCUUGUUACUCUCUCUCCCGGCAAGCAUCUUGUUUCACAUCCAUUGUAGUAAUGAGAGAUGUAACUGCAUGGUAGUAAUCCUGUUUUUUCAAAAUGUUCUCAUUCGGCAUCCUAUCUCUUUGAACCUAACUUAUCUAAAAGCCUUUCAGGCAUCCCACAUUUAAACAAAUUUAAAUGCUGUGUUGAUUUGCCUCUUUUGGUGAACUUUUAGCAGUUCGAGAGGAAUUGAUGCAAGUGUUUUUGUUUUCUAACUAAUGCUUAGCUUUGAUGAGCUUCUUAUUCAUUGAAUGGCUGAUUCAUAAAACUUUACUUGCUUUGGUUACAUGGGCUUUUUUUAAUAUUUUUUAAUAGUAAUCCAGAUGAUUAGUGCAUUUAUGUAACUAAGAAAUGGAGACAAAAAACCGGUGAAGCAGGCAGUGCUGAAAAUUACAUCUGUCUGUUAAACUUGACAAGAAGAAAUGGCAAUCUGUUCAUAUUUAUUUUUUUUGGAAACUGAAGUUAAUUUCCUAAGUGAUAUGCAGCUUUGCUGAGUUGUGUUCCUUAUGCCAUUUGGUCUGGCUGCUAGUUUGUACAUCACUACAGUGUGUCAAUGGAUGUGUUUUUUCUAUAGACAAGAUAAUUGGUAUGUUAUUCCUACUCAUAAAUAACUUUUCUUCUAAAACCAGCCUUUCUUUUUGUUUUUUGCCAAUCAUGCGUGUACCUGUGUCAACAAAUAUCUUUGCUAUGUAGACAACAAACUUGGAAUUUUCCUUUCCCAAACAUAAAUCAAUUUUUCUGAUAAAAAAGGCUGUCUUUUUUUUUGCCCAAUCAUGUACUUAUUUCAAUUUUUACUAGGUUAGAUAUUAACUGUCAAGAAAUUCAUCUGUUGGUAAAAAACCAUAGGAAAGUAAACAAGUGAAAGUAUAAGAUUACAGUGUGAGAAACUUGUUCUGCAUUUUUCUUUUUGUAUGACCUGAAAGAGUGUAAAGCAUAUUAUCCUUUUGAAGUCAUUCUCUUUUCUUCCUUACAGUGUUGACUUUAAUCCUGUCUUAGGUUCUAUGAAAAUCUCAAAAAGUUAAGGAAUUCCUGUAGUUACAAAACAAUAUUGUCCGUCUGCAGCAUAUGUAACGUUCUGGUGUAUGUGGCCAAGUCUUCUCCUUUCUUUUGGUCUUGAAGUUUGACAUUUUCUUUACAUGUGUGGUGACAGGUUUCUUUUCUAAAGAAUCGUGUCAAUGUUGCUUGUGGAACACCAAACAGGUAGGUGAAGCUUCUUUCUUGCAUAAGUUGCAUGUGGCUCUUUCUCACGCUGCUUAUGGUUGUUUGUUUUGGCAUAUGGUUUUGGAACUAGAUAUUGCUUUUGUUUGACUUAAUUUGGGUUGCCAAUUUAUUGUCUCCUCUGUCUGAUCAGUCUUCCAGGACUCAGAAAUCUUAUAGUUAGACGAUUUAUCCAUUUACUGGAAGGGUUUAUUGUAGUUAGAGAGAGAGGGAGAGAAGAGAGAGAACUGUCUUAGGAAAUGUUAUUUUCCUACCUUACUCUUUAGUUCACCCGUUGUAUAUCUUGAUUUGCUAAGCAUUUUGCAUUUGUUGUAGGAUAAAGAAGUUGAUUGACAUGGAAGCAUUGGGCUUGUCAAGAUUGGCAGUUAUUGUUCUUGACAUGCACACAGAUGUCAAGGGCUAUUCUUGUUCACACUUCCUCAAGUCAGGUUUGAUCCGUUUAGCUGAUAUUCCAUUAUGAUUACGCUUGUGAACCAUGUGAUAUUGAUAUCGGGUUUGCUGAAUUCCAAUAUCUGGAAUGCCAUGGUUGUCCUCAUGGUUGUCUCUCUCUUUCUUUGAUUUCCAUUUCCAUGGCUUCACCUUUACUUUGAAUAUUGUCUAAGCAUUGCACACGACACCUAUUUGCGUCAGACAGGGUCAAAUGGGGAAAUUUGUGUCAUACUGCUUUUCAUGCAACUCAAAAUUUUCAUCCCUUUUCCUUGAUUACGUAAUGCGUGCACAUUUUCUUUUCACUCGAAAGAUGGUUAAUUUUGUACCUGCAUGGAAAAUAUCAUUUGACAGAGAAGAGUUCUGGGACCUGUACAAGAGCUACAUUCAUCAACGACUGCUUGAAGGUGAUCUGCGAAUCUGUCUGUAUGGUCAAAUACCAGCUAUUCGAAGAGCUCCAACGGAAGCUAAAGAUAACUGAAGCGGCUUAUUCAUGCCCAAGAGUUAAGAAUAUUCUGUGUUGCUUGUACCAGUGCAGACCUUUUUUUUCAAAAAAAAAAUUUAGGGGAUACGAAGGAUAAUAUUAAAAAAACCUUAUUGUGGUAGCGAUGAAGUAAUAGUUGCAGGAAGCAAUAACACACAAAUUUUGGAUUGAUGUAACCCGAAGUUGCAAAUUAUGCACAACCUACACGUAUACUAAUCUAAGGCCAUGUAGUUCUGGUAGCUUUUAAUCUGGAUUAGAAUGGAGCUUCAAAAUUUUAUGCAAGGCUUUCUAGUGAUAACAGAGAUUGUGCACACUGGGGAGCUAUAUUUGAAAUCUCUAAAUCAGGUUAAGUAUCAAAGAUGUUAAUGAUAUGGAUUGAACAAAUGAUUUGAAAGGGAAACUAUAUCAAAACCUGCUUUGGACUGCCUUACCAUGGUGGUAAAUUCCAAAGCCUCAAAAACCUCAGAAAUUCCAGAGCAAGUGGUUUAUGGUGUUAAGAGUUAUAACUUGUAAGAUUGAAGAAAAUGCAAUUUGCUGCAUGGUCAAAAUCAGUUAAUCACUGGAAGACUUCAGCUCAAAUGAUUAUUUUUAUUUUUUUACUUGUGUCGCCUUCCUUUUUUUUUUUUUUUUUUUUUUGGGACAAUUGACAAUGUUGAUUAUUUAGGCUUAGAAUGAAGGUAGGAUGCAUCAUGGGUAGAAUGAUGAUUCAAGCAUGCAGCUGUACUGUAACACAAAUGUUUUUCGAGGAAUGCCCUCAUUGAUGUACAUUUAUUCAACAGAAGAAAAACUUAUUUGUAUAGGUUUAUACAUUGUAGAAUGUACGUGGAGAUGGAAUAUUGGUUUCCAUUCCACAAUUAAACUUAACCAUUAAAAUUUAAGUGAGGAUCCUUAACCGAUUAUUAGGAAUAAGGUACAGUACAAUCUCUCAUUUAUAAUCAGGCGUAGUUAAUGGUACAGUUUUAUCUCCUAAAUUACCACUAUAAAUGGAUAGAUAAUUAAUUUUCUGGAAGUGACAACCAUUUUAAUCGUCUACGUGUUGAACAUUUUUAGUAUUAAUCUAUAAUUCUGGAGUGAUUAAAAGUUUGAGAGAAAUCCCACUUUGUUUUAUUCAUUCCCCAAAUCCAAUAUACAAAUAGGAUUAAUCCAAUCCAAGUAAAGAUCAAUAAUCUUUCGGAUAAAUUACUUAUAACCCCCUAUGAUUUUACAUAAUGUUAGAUGAUCCCCCUAAACUUUUAAAUUAGUCACAUAACCCCCUUAUGAUUUUGUGCAAAGUGGAAAAUGGACAGACUACACAAUCAAUUACAGUGUUUCUAUCAAACAUGCUCUAAAAUCGGGUGUGAUAAAAUCUCAAUUUUCAUGUAACCCCUUAUGGUUUGUAUAAAUAUUCACUUUAUCUCGUGAUUUUGCAUUUAUCUAUAUAAUCCCCUUAUAUUUUUAUAUAAGGUAGCUAAGUUGUCGAUUAAUUUAACAUUUAAGUAAUGGCACUAUUGAUGUUUCAAUUAACAACGUUAUAUAAGUUAUUUUCUGUCGGAUUUCUACUUUAGAUAAAAUCAUAGGAGAAUGAAAUGGAUAUUUUGAAACACUAGGGGAUUAUGUGACAAUAGAUGAAAUCAUAGGAGGGUUAUAUGUAAUUUACCCUAAAUUUUUAGGUGUUUAAUGACUUUGUACUUUAAAGAAGCUACAUACAAAUUAAGAAAAUAGCUUCAACAUGUAAGUUAAAAGAUCUCAAGUGACCUUCACAACUUCUCAAACUUUGGCGAAGUUAGGAACAGAUUCCAACUCGUGAAAGUUGUCCUCGUGGAAAAGAAUAAAAAAACUGAAUUAUAGCUAAAAAAAGUAUUCAUUGCUGCAGGUGCCUAAUUUAGAGUAGGAUAUUUGUAUGAACAAUUUUGUGUUCUCUGCUCAAAAAAAUUGGUCUUCGUCAGUUAUCUUUUGCCUCAGAACCCUCUGUUUAGUGGGGAUUUAUUCGUAGUCUUUCAUCCUUAAAAGGGAUUUUUCGUACAUAAGCAUAGCCACAAAAGCUUCUUUCUCUUGUUCUUUAUUAGGGGUUUCAAUUUCUUGUUCUCUCCUUUUGGCAAUUCAAGCAUCAACAAACGCAAAUUUUAGUUGCUUAAAUAUGUUCUAAAGAGAAAAGUGCAAUUUCCAACAGAAUUUUACACACCUAGUGGCUGCUAUAUGACUGUUCUUAAUCAGUUUAGAUGCUAUAUGCCUUGAGAAAUGUGGAUUGUGCUAAAAAGGGGAAAGAAUAAAUAAAGAAAGGAGGUACAUUGAUAAAAGAACUUAUGGCUAUAUUACCCUUUUGACUAAAUGUGAUGAACUAUUUAUUGAAGAUAGAUGAUGUCAAGGCAAUCCCUAAGGAAAGGGCUGCCAUCCUAAUAAAACAACAAUCCAUAUUCGGAAAAUCAAAUAGCUGUUUGCAUCUCUAAUUCACAACUAUAUGGAAAUCAAUUAGCUAUUUUUUUUUACAAGAAAUAGAUGUAUGGCAAGUUUUAUGAGUGUAGUAAUUCAUAGUACAUACUACAAAUAAGUCCUCCUUAUGCGCCUAAUUUUAGGUGGUGCAAGUUCUUUGUUAUAUAUAGAUAACAUGCUAUUGAGCUCAGAGAUUGCAGCACCAUACUUCCAUAGACUAUAUCUUUACCAAGUCAUUGAUUUCAGUGCUCUGCCUAAAGGCUCUGCCGCAUGUUUAAUAUCUUUACCAAGGGACUCGGGGCACGGACGGUUGCAGGUGCAAUCGUCCCUGCCAAUUGUAGUCAUUAUCAACUGGUCGUAACUUUUUUUGUACAUCGUGUAACUUUUUUUUCACAAGAUGUAUUUUCACAACAGAUAGUGGUGGGCCCCACACUUGGCGCGGAAAUCGAGUUACAUGGUGUAAUCUCAGCCGCACAAAAUUUUGAGGGCCAAUCUUGGCCCUUAACCGUGCAGGGACGGUCAUACUGCCCCAAAUCCCUUUACCAAGUCAUUAAUUUGUUGACAAGAAACAAGGUUUUUUUUGCAAAAUUAGUUCAUUAGAUUUCUCCAAAUAAUUAGGGUACAAAGGUAAAUUUUCACAAUUUUUUGUCAGCAAUAGUCCCACCCCUAAGGGAGGUCAGUGCUAUUUCUUAAAUCAUAGGAGAGGUGAGUGCUAAUGUCAGAAACUCCAGAGGAGGUUUAUGCAAUUAUCCCUUUUCUAAAGUUAUAUAGCUAGGCUGGACAGUUAAGUACUGUGAAGUUACAGUCCCUAUUCAAAAUAACACAAAAAUCAAAAGGAACUUUGCAACUGCUAGUCUCAUUUUUAAAUAUGGAGAACUAAGGUUAAUAACCGGACCAAUUCACAUGAAAAUGCCAAUAACCAUUCCCUAUGCCUAGAAAAGUUAACCAAAAAUUAUAAGAGUAAAACAAUUAUUGAUAUUCACCAAAGAGAUGUUCUUGAAUUCAACCACAUUAACUUGAUACAUUUUUAUUUUAAAAACUUGGCAAAAGCAGAAAUAGAGGCAACAAUCCAACAUCAAACUUGGCAUCACAUACGAGCUAAUCACUAAAAAGAAGAAAAAGAAAAUGAAUGAAAGACACUAGCACCAUAACUGCUCCCCCCACACCUAAAUCCUACAUUGUCCUCAAUGGAGGUAAUAAAGUAAUUAAAGUGAAGAAAACAAUGAAACUUCCCUGUUGAACAGCUAAGGGAUAGGAGGAAACAGUGGAGGGAAGCCGAGUUCUGAGACAUUCUUGCCACUUGGCGGGUGAUGUUCGUCAUUCGCUCAUCUACGUGAUGAAUCUGAGCCCGCAAGUGGUGCGACUUAACAUCAGAGGCCAUCGGUGGGGGAGGCGCAGAAGAAGAGGGCUCGAGUCUUACCAUUUUCUCCAAAUGUCAUUUCAAUCAACAAGAGACAAAAAUUGCCCACAGAUAAUGUAAACAGUAAAUUCAAAGCAAUGACAAUUUAAUAGCCACCGGUGCCUCCCAAAUAUCAAUAGAGAGCGACACAACUUGCCCACCCAAAAUCUCUCUAAAUAUCUCCAAUUGCACAAGAACAACCCAGUCACACAUGCCCAGCAGUCAAUCAACUAUCCAACCAAGUAGAACUGACACAUGCAAGGGGAAAUAUUCCAACCAGUAUCAUUAGUGCAAAACAUAGUCCAAAAUCAAUGAAAUUGCUAUAGUAGAGUAGAGCAGUAGUAAAGCAAUAGCCCCAAGUAUUAAUCUAGUCACAAGAAAGAUUCUAAACCUCUAAAGAAGAGCAAUAGGCGACUAGAAUUCCAAUGAAUAGAGCAAGUAGAGGAACCGUAGGUGGGAACCCAGUCCACCGAAGUCAAUAAACAAACCCAGGAAACAAAUAAGUCCGCAAAUGAGUCAACAAAUUGCACAAAUGAUCAAACCAAAAUCACAGACACUGUUCCUCCAAAUCAGCAAUAUAAACCAACAUCCAAAAUGUCCUCAAAAACUCGAUUAAAAACUACUAAUGCCAAUAAGGAAUGCAGUUGCCGAAUUAAAUCAACCAAAAUUUCAACAAGCAAAACACUGGCCGAGAUUCUUCCCAAAAUAUCACAGACAAUUGUUAAAAUUCCAGCCCACCCAAGAACUUCAACAAUUGCACCCAAAAGCUCAACAAUUGCCCCCAGCAGUCAACAAGUCAACAAGUCAGGCAACAGUAGUGCAGUGAUUCGGCAAUAACGACUCAAUAUAUACCCUCAACUGGCAAUUAGGCAUCUACCCACAAAAGCAAGUGAAAUUAUCUCAACGACCUAAUGGUUCACCACACAGAAUUCACUUCCACCCAACGAAAUAGUUGAAGUCACUAAGAUGAACACGUUAGUUAACCGUCACAGAAAAUUCUAACAAGCAAACCAACUCCUAACAGGGCAAAUUAAGCAGCACAAGCUCCUGAUUCAAUAGGCAAUAUUAGAAAUAACUCAACCAGAAUCCCAAAAGAAACCUCAACGAACUUAGUAGUUGAAAGCAAUGGUCAGAAUAUUUCUCAGCAAUUCAAUUAGAUGCACCCAACUGGAGGAAGCAAUGUAAAUAGCAUAGAAACUUCCCAAUUUAACAAACAAGUGCAAUAUUUCAGCUUACCCAAAAUUUCAACAAAUGGCUCCAGUUGACCCGUCAAAAUCUUAAUUCAAAAUCAGCAAUUUCAAUGAAAACGGCUUAGAUAUUGGACACUACAAACGCAGCCAACCAGAUAGAGGUACCAAAUUAAGGUCCAGUUACUCCACCAGUACCACAGGUAUAGCAAAAUAGCACAAUAAUACGACGGAAAAUAGCACAAUUGCUAGCACUGGUGCACCGCACAGUUAAGGCAGAAAACCCAAUUGCCACUCCAAUCUACUGACAAACCCCCAAGUGAAUCCAAUACAUACCAAAAAUUGGGGAUUUAGUAGCAAAUACCUCUCCCAGUGGCCGAAUGAAGAAACUGGGGCGGUAGUGGCUAAGAAAAAGAGGCGCUGUGUAGGACGCGAGGGAAAGGCGGCGUCCGUGGGCUGGAGCUGCGAGGGAGAGCGACUACGCGUGGGCACGGGCGGCGGCGCGCGACUACAGCAGCGACGGCGUCGGCUUGGGCAAAGCGCGCGACAGUGAAGGAGAGCGGGUGGAGCGUGCGGUCGGAGCUGGGUGGCGUGCGGAGGGAUCACGGCUGAAAGAAGAGCUGCGGGGUGGCCUGCGCGUGGUUGGUGAGCGGCGGCGGCGCACGAGCUGGUCGUCGCUGGCGGAGGCGCGAGAUGGGUGCUGCCUCUGGUGCUGCUGGCGGUAGCUAGCGGUGGAGGCGUUGAGCAGCGGCGGCGGUAACGCUCCUCGUGCCCGCGAUGGAUCGAUGGCGAAGAGGAAGCUGGUGAGGGGAGAGCCGCGGCUAGGGUGGGUUGAGGGAGGAGGCGGCGGAGAAGAAAGAAGAAAGAAGAAGAAAGAAAGAAAAGAAAGAAUAGGGAAGAAAGAAAAAGAAAAUAGUAUUUGUGUGUUUUUUUUUCCUUUUCCAUUUUUUUUCUCUUUUUAGAAUUUUUUUUUUUUUACAGGAAGACUCUCCCCCCCCCCCUUUUUUUUAAAAUUACAAAAAAAAAAAUUUUUGAAAAUUUUAUAUAUAUAUAACUUUUUUUUUAUUGACAAAAUUUAUUUUUGAAAUUCAAAAGUAGAGAUUAACAGAAAAUCAAUAAUCGUUCUUGAGCUUUUUGAAUACUUACCUUUCCCGUGAACAUGACGCGGGCACGUCAUGAAGGCACGGAAUCUGGAGCUCUCCAUAUGAGAUGACGUGGGCACGUCAUGAGGGCAGGAACCCCUUCUGACGAUUCUGACCGUGAGCUCUCCAGACGUCAUGACGCGGGCGCGUCAUGACAGAAAGAUACCUACAAAUCAUCAAAAACGAAAAUUGAAACCCGAAAUCAGUCAAAUUCAAGGAAAACAUAUUUAAACUAUCACACAAAAUCAAAACAAACAAUUAAAAGAAAUAAUUGGGUUGCCUCCCAAUGAGCGCCUUUCUUUAAUGUCUUUGGCUAGACAUUAUCAUGUUUUGCUCAUGGAGGAUAAAAUCUUGUGGCUUGCUUCAAUGCUUCAUCUUCAAUGUGAUCCUGGUAACCCUCAUAGAUGGAGUAAUCUUUGAACACGCGAGCUACGGUCUUCCAUGGACUAGUUGAUAGCGCCAAAUAAUCAAGCAGUAAUCUAAAUUUUUCAUCCACUCCUCCAUCAAGAGCACUCAACGGUUCAAGAUAUUUGACCAUACCUACUCUUAACUUAUUUCUGCCAUGAGACUCAAAAAUUUCCGGUAUAACAAAAUCAAUCUCAUUAACAGAAAUCAUGGAGUAAGAGUUAAGAAAAUGCGAGUUAGGGAAUGGAGGUGGUGUCACCAUAUUUGAUGAUUCUUCACUGGAUUCUUUCACUUGAAUGGGUUGCGGUUGGUGGUUCCAUCUCUUCCUUUUCGACUUCUUUUUCAACUGCAUCUGUAGAUUUCUCAUUUUGACACUCUUGCAUCUCCUCAUCACUAGUCAAGCAAAUUGCACUCUCAUUUUCUUCUAGAUCAACAAUGGUUUUCGAGGGCAAUUCUUCCAUUCGAGAAGCCAAUCGAUUUAUUCUGGAUGUCAAUAGACAUAGUUGAUCUGCCAGAUAACUCAUUGCAUCCUUCAUCAUCUCAUUUCUCAUUUGUGUCUCCUGUUGGAAUUGGUAUGUAUUAGUAGCUAUUGGUUCAACUAUUUCUUCAAGAGACAUACUUGACAUAGAUGACGAUUCUUGAGACUCAUACUGCUGAAAAUUCAUUGGCCCCGUUGUAUAAAUAUAACCGGAGUUAUCCCACCAUUCUUGAUUAUACCCGUUUGGAUUAGGGUUAUACCACGUUUGAGACCAGGGUGAAAAAUCUCCAUAAUUAUUGAGUGGGACACUCAGAUUAUCUUGAUAUUCGGGGCACACACCGGUUGAAUGAUCCCUGGCAUAACAAAUUUUACAGGUUGCAGCAGCCAUUCUUUCUCUAAUAGAGUUUAGUGCCUCUGAGUAUGCAAACUUAGGAACAAAACAAAACUCAUCGUCUUCCCUGGAAACAAAAUCCAGUAUAUCACCAAAAUACGGAGUGUUAGAAGCCAUAAACUAUAUAAAAAAAAUAAGAGAAAAAAUAAAUAAAAAAAAACAAGAUGAACUCAAAAAGAAACAAAUUAAUCUGACACCAAUCCCCGGCAACGGCGCCAAAAAUUGACAGGGUGUCAGCCUGUGCAAUAAUAAAUACCUGCUCAAACUAAAAUUAAUUUCUGUAGAUAGUGGUAUGUAGGGUCGAAUCCACGGGGACUGGGAGUAAUGUUUCUUUUUAAAUUCACAGUGACAAGGGGGGUGUUUUUAUCUCAGGGGUGACAAUUUAAGCAAUCCAACUAAAAGUAAAAUAAUAAAAAUAAAAUAGCCAAUUAGAAAUUAAAAUAACAACUUACUAAAAUCAAAGGAUCUAGCCAAGGAAUAACUUCAGCAAUGGUUCACCUAAUUGAUCAUCGAUACAAAGCCAAUUACAAUUAUUUACCAAUAAAUAGGUUAUAACUGCCAAACAAGUGAUGACAGUCAACCCCUCCUUACUGUGUCGGUGAUUAAGGUACGCCCGUUAAUCACUGCUCUAAUUGAGAAAUAAUCCUAGGUACGCCCAUAGGAUUUAAUUUCCCAAUUGCCUUACGUAUUAGAGGAGCCCUAUUCUAACCAAAUAACGCACUACCAGGGUUAUUUCAGAUUAGCCCGCGUAUUCCCCUGACACAAGUCUAAUUAUGCCAGUUGUCACUAUUUCAAGGCAAUUAAACAAUUACGGAUUUAAUACCUCAAUUGACAAUAAAUUAUUAAAUUAACUAAUUAUCCGGAUCCAAGACAAUCAAUUAAUUAAACAAUCAUAAGCACUACAACCAGGGAAUAUGCAAAUACCAAUAAAUAAAAGAAAAAGAUAAAAUUAAAUCGAUCUCACAAUUUUUAGGCGACCCAAAGCAUCCGUUGUUUCUUGGCUAGAAAAAGGGAUUUAGUUCAUCCCCAACGAGGAACACUCACACGAAGCGGAGGGAACAAUUGCAGCCUUUGCCAUUGACCGGGAGAACUCAAUUCGCUUCAAUAAAGAAAAAGAAAGAACAAAGCUACAGCGAAUGAUUCAUGGUUUCUCAUGGUCUCUGACAUACGAGAAGAAAAUCACUAAGGAACGGAAAAAUGGAAAAAGUCUAAGUGAAAAGCUAAUCUAGAGCUACGAGAGAAAAGUCAAAAGCUAAAAAACAAGGUAGUGCUCAGUGUCUGCCAUAUAUCAAUCGUUCCUAUUCUAAUUGCUACUGUGCAGCGUCCGCCGCCCAGCCGAGAGAGAGAAAAGAAGACUUCGGCCUCCCCUUUUUAAUGCUGUCUUCAGCCCAAUUACCAAGAAGGGUCGCAGUUUAAUAUUUGAAAAAUGUCCCUAGAUGUCUGCUACUUGAACUCUUUCUUGAUAACUGUCAAAUUGACACUUGUUAUGGUAUUUUCGUUCUACACCCUGAAAUAAAUGCAAAUUGCCAAAAGUGAGUAAAAUCUAACAAUUAAUCCACAUCGGAUCAGGUAAUAGGGAAAAUUAAUUAUAAAAUAAACGAUAAAAUUGCAACCUAUCAGGAUGCUUGAAGCAAAAAAAAAAAAAAUUAAACUGAUUGCCUCGUGAUAAGAAGGUGGAAUUAUUGCAAAAACAGAGACCCCAUCGUGUGGGAAUGGAAUACAAUAAUAAUUCCCAAUAAUUCUAUGAAACCGGACCCACUACUUGUGAAACCGGAAUGCGUCUGCAAGUGGUUUUUUGAAAUAUAAAUGUAUAGUAGAUAAAUUUUCCAUUUGCAAUUAGUUCAAGAUAAAUUUGGAUUUUGGGUGAAGCCAAUUUAACCCAAUGCGUGCCUAGCUCCAAUUCCACCUAGUUGAAUAAUUGAUUAUCAUUGCCUGGGAUCCACCUUGAUGCCAAUUCCACCUAGUUGAAUGGUUGAUUAUCUCAAUACUCUCCUUCACUUUCUCACCAGAAACAAAUAAGAAAAGCAAAGAAUUGUAAUUUUCAGGAAAGAAAUACUUUGCUAGCUCUACAGUUAAUGAGAUUUGUUUCUCUCUUAAAAUUUGAGAGUGAAACUGACGAAAAUCCCUCCAAAAGAGAUCGAGAUGGCCUCCACUUGCAGCGUCGAUUGUGUCUUACUUGGUCUAGAGUCGAUCCUGAACAGAGGCCGGUAUGAUCCUUAUGAUGUUCGUGUUGCAAUCACACACAUGAAAUUUCUCAAAACAUUUGUUAUGUGUGCAAGCAAGUGGAGCCAAAGCAAUGAUUUGUACUUGCAAUCUGACAAUGUUGUGAAGAAGGUGAGUCUUCCAUCUUUCUUAUCUUGCAUCGAAGAUACCUUUCACAAAUAUGUGGAGGAUAUUCACUCUCUUUCCCAUGAUGAGAUAUAUGUAGUGUUACACGAAAUUGAGAAAGAGAUCAUAUCACUCAAGCAAGAAAUCAUCCAAAUUUACUUUGCUUUGGCAAGCAGCAGGUCAUUUCAAUCAAAUUCUUGUAUGACAGAUGAUGAACUGUUGGAAUUCAUAGACCUCAUCCUCCAAAAUCUAGCAGAUUUGACAAAUUACUGUAUGUAUUGGAAAAUUAAUGAAUAUGAUCCUUUGAGUGCUCAAGUCCAAGAUCUUGAAGCAAAGCUGACAUUCUUGAAAAGCUUCAUUCCCUUUGCCAAAAUGCGAGGAACCGCAGAUAUUCCUGCCUUGCUAUUGGCUCACUUUGAAGUGGUGGCUUUGACCGCAGCACGCCUCUCUUACAUGUGGUCCUUUUGGAAAAAUGCUGAGGAAAUGCACAAUCCUCAGUUCUACUACAGAAGUACUUGCAGCUUCAAACUCCUCAGCAUCAGAGCUGUUGAUUUUCAUGUCUACGAGAUUUAUAAGGAAGUACUUGCAGCUUCAGACUCCUCAGCAUCAUUACAUACAGCAGUGAUGGAUGAGCGGAUAUUGAACAACUUCAAUGAUUCUCUGAUAGGUCUUCUCUGGGAGUUGUUAUGCUGUAGCUCUAGCUUUGUGGAUUCUAUGAAAGAUGAAAUGCGAAUACUCUGUGCAGGACUGAGGUUUUUGAGAAGGAUUUUAAGGGAGCAUCAUGAGAUGAUGGAUGAACAAAAUGAAAAGAUUGGAGCUCUCCUUGGUGAGGCAGGCAUUAUAAUAUUCUCGCCCACUCUGAGCAGAGUGAUAGAAGGAGAAGUUAGCUUCUCAGGAUCCACCCAGGUUCUUGAUUUUUGUGAUAUGCUGGCCAAUACCAACAUCCAUAUCAAGAAUUUUAAGGAUCAGAUCAGUGGCUCAAGUACUAUAGAGAGUCUUCCUAAUUCCUCUUAUAGCUUAAGAGCACCAGAAGUUAGCCAGACUUCCAGCCGCAUGCUAUCAAAAGGUAAAAUGCCAAUAGACCAUGAAGUCAUGGUUGGUCUUGAUGAUGAGGCAGAAAAAGUAAUUGAACCACUUAUCAAGCAUUUUGAGGAUCAGCUCAGUGUCCCAAGUACUAUACAGAGUCUUCCUAAUUCCUCUCAUAGCUUAAGAGCACCAGAAGUUAGCCAGACUUCCAGCCGCAUGCUAUCAAAAGGUAAAAUGCCAAUAGACCAUGAAGUCAUGGUUGGUCUUGAUGAUGAGGCAGCAAAAGUAAUUGAACGACUUGUAAGCGGAUCAAAACAGGUGGAAAUUGUUCCCAUUGUGGGAAUGGCUGGGCUUGGUAAGACAACUUUAGCCAAAAAAGCUUACAAUGAUAGUUCAGUAACCUGUCACUUCCACAUUCGUCUUUGGUGCACUGUUUCUCAAGAAUUUAACAUGAAAAGCUUGUUAACACAAAUUUUGUGCUCGGAUGGAAAACACUCUAGGAUGGAUGAAGAGCUUAAAAACUUGAAUGAACAUGAAUUGCUUCACAAGCUCUAUCAAAGGCUAAAGACGAAGAGGUAUCUUGUUGUUUUUGAUGAUGUCUGGGACAUUAAGGUAUGGAAUGAGCUGAGAAUUUCAUUCCCAGAUGACAAAAACCAAAGUAGAAUCAUCUUUACGAGUCGAUCUUCUAAUGUAGCUUCACAGGUUCAACAUGGUGGAGAACCUCACUAUCUUCACCCACUCAGUAAGAAAGAAAGUUUCGAAUUGCUGCAGAAGAAGGUGUUUGGAGAAGAAGAAGAAUGUCCUCAAGCAUUGCAUGGAUUGGGAAUGGAGAUUGCUGAAAAGUGCUGGGGGUUGCCACUUGCACUUGUUGUUGUAGCUGGAGUCCUAGCAACUAUAGAGCAUGAUAUUUUGGUUUGGAAAAAGUUUGCUGAAAGUUUAACUUCAACCAUGGUGUCUGGUACAGACCAGUGGAACAAGUCCUUGGAGCUCAGUUAUGAGCAUCUACCAUAUCACUUGAAGGCAUGCUUGCUGUAUUUUGCUGCAUUUCGAGAAGAUGAAAAAAUUGGUGCCAAGAGUUUGAUGCGUCUAUGGAUUGCAGAAGGGUUUGUGGAAAUAAUUGAAGGAAAGAGAUCAGAGGAUACUGCAGAAGAAUAUUUGAUGGAUCUAAUUGGCCGAAACCUGGUCAUGGUAAGUAAAAGCAGAUCCAUUGGUGGAGUCAAAACUUGUUACAUUCACGAUUUGAUUUUUGAGUUCUGUAAGGGCGAGGCGAAAGAAAAGAAUUUCCUUCAGGUCCUGCGAGGAUAUGAUGAGCUUUCUACCUUUAAUGAGGAGAACCCACCUCGGUUGUCCAUUUGGUGCAGUGGAGAAGAUUUUAUGAAGUCAAGGCUAUUUUGUCCGCAUUUAGCCAGUCUGCUAUUCUUUGAUGCUACUCCAGGAUAUAAGAAGUUUGAGUUGCUUAAUAUCUCCUUCCUUUUUUGCAUCUACAAACAUCUUAACGUUCUGAAUUUAGAGGGCAUUGACCUAAUGUUGAAGGAGCUUCCAGCUGAAGUCGAAUCACUUAUUUGUUUGAGGUACUUAGCCCUUAGUGCUUGGAAAAUGCGAUUCAUUCCACCAUCUAUAGCCAAGCUCUCACAUUUGGAAACCUUCUGUCUAAAUUCUCACCAGAUGGUUUCAUUGCCAGAUAGCAUCUGGAACAUGAAGAAGUUGAGGCAUGUAGAUGCAUGGAGUGGGAUUGUUAUUUGUCUAUCUUCCAACGACAACGGUGUUGAAAACCUGUCCACUUUACCCAAUUUGGACACACUCUCUUGUUUGUAUCUUUGUGAAACGGGAGAGAGCCUUUAUGAAGAGGGAGAGAACAUAUUGAGAAGCAUUCCCAACGUUCGCCGACUUAAAAUUUCCGAUCGUCAGACUGGAAAUGGAGUGUUGAACAUGAGUCGACUAGAAUGCCUAGAAUCACUCACCUGGUUGGGCUAUUACUGCUCAAGUUCAUGGGAACAUGUUGAGCCUCCCUUUCCCAUGAAUUUGAAGAAGUUGAGUCUUCGCAAUCUGGGUCUUCCCUGUAGUAAAAUGUCAUUGAUUGAAGAACUACCCAAUCUUGAAGUCCUCAAAUUAAGAGACCGGGCAAUGGAGGGCCAAAGAUGGGAGCUGAUGGAAGGAGGAUUCCCUAAACUCAGGGUCUUGACGUUGGAAGAAGUAGAGGUUGUGGAGUGGAUUGACAGUGGUGAUGAUUACUUCCCGUGUCUUCAGCAAUUAAAACUCUUCGGAAUUUUUAAUUUGAAAAUGAUGCCUGCUUGUUUAGGGAGUAUAUCUACUCUUGAAACGAUUGAGAUGAAGGAUUGCAAAGAUGGCGUCAAAUCUUUAGUAAGGAAAAUUGAAGAAGAACAGAAAGAUUAUGGAAAUGAGAAUCUGAAGAUCAUUUAUGGAAAAUAUUGAAGGGUGGCUACAUCUUUUCCUAUCAAUUCCCCUUCUUUGGGUGGCUUAAUUGGAUUUCAUUAGUUGGCUAAAUUUUGGUUGUAAAAAAUUCUCAACUGCUAACCGCUUUAAUGUUCUUUGGUUUCCUCUUUUUCCCGUUGUCUGUUGGGUUCUAUGGUAUGAUAGGAAUAAAUUUUUGUUUGAUUGUAAGUAAUAAAGAUUUGCAAGUUUAUGUAACACAGAGAAACCCAAAAAAUCGUAAAUAUUGAUUCGAUCUGAACCGCAAAUUUAGGAUAUUCGAAUCGGUUUUAAUAUGCGUAGUUUGGGUAGCAGCAAAUCAGAUUAACAAAGAAGGACGUCCCGUCGCAAUUCAAAAACUUUGAAAAUCGCAGAUACCUGACCCAAUUCAUAUGUAAGGAUAAUUUUGUCCAUUAAAACUAAAAGUAAUAGAGGAAUAUAUAAUCAUCUUUCACCAAAUAUUUAUAUUUGAGAUGAUAUACUUGACUAUCUCAACAAUAUAAGUCUUAACUUGUUUAACUUGCUAAUUAUAUAGUAAUAUAUUUAGCUUUUGUUGCUGAGAAUAAGUGAUAUUUACAAACUUGUUUUUACUAUGAAUAUGCAAGUAUUGAUGGUUAUGUGAUAUUUCUUAACAAAUAAUGAAUUAUAUUUAAAUAAAGUCUUUUAGGUGUUUACUUAUUUUCUUAUUCUCAAUUAUGAAAAUAUGAUUUCUUUUUUAACUUUGGUACCGAGUCUAGUCAUUCGAGUACUCUAUGACCGUGGACACAGUUAUUAUUUAAUUUUUUGUCGAACCAAUAGAACUGGUUUGAGUUACGAAGAAGCGCAGAGCUUCCCCGUGGAGGCCAAUUGUGUAUUUUGUCCGCCCAAGUGGUACCAGGACUUCAACCCCAAGACCCUUAUACACAAGGACUAGGGUUCGAAUCCUGGGGAGGCCCCCCUCCAAGCACCCGAUGCUGGGGCGGACAAAAUACACAAUUGACCUCCACGGGGAAGCUCUGCGCUUCUUCAAGUUACAAAUCUGAAAGGACACCCAACCCGUGAAAUAUAAUCACGGACUGAUGCUGACUCCUCUUUACUCUUUGCUCAUGGCUUAAGGCCCUUGUUAGUAGUUAUAUAAACUCAAAUCAAAGAUUCCAUCAAACUAAAAUCUCUAUUGAAGUCAUUUUACUAUUUUCUUUUGAAAAUAAAAACUAGCUAUUGACUUUUGGAUUAUAAGAUUGAUUUUUGGAGCAUGCAUAUUGAACAACAAUGCUUGAAUUUUCAACAAAAAAGAAAAAAAAACAACGAAAUAAAGCUAACGUAGAUGACUAAUUAUAAAUUAUCAUUCUCUUUUUCCCUUUCACUUGAAAAUGAAAGAAACUAUUUUUGUGAUAACAAAAAUUUCUGUUCGACUUUAAUUUUUUCCUUCCUUUUUUUUUGGCCCCUUAUAUGGUCUUUUUCUCUUGAAAAUUCCAAGAAAGUCUUACCUUAUGGAAAGCGAAAAUCUUUUAAUUUUUUUUUUUUAAAAAAAGGGGUCUAGGUGUAGGGUCCCUUUCUUAGUGGACAAUGCCGAAACUGGUGCUUUUUACCUACGAAAUGAGAGUGAAAUAAUUCAUUCAAAAACCAUAAAGUAAUGAGUUAAAAAAUUCUUUGCUUUUUCUCGUGAUUCCAGCACUGCCACCACUAUGAUUGUUUGUUGAAUAAUUGAAUAUUCCACAAGAAAAAUACUGGCUAGGCGAGAUUUGUUAAUAUUUCUCCUUAUGCUACACUAAAAAUUUGAGAGUGAAAUUGAGGAAGUGCCUUGCAUUAUAAGAGCUGGAGAUGACCUCCACUUGCAUAGAACCGAUCUAAUUGAGCUCAUCUAUAAGUGGAUAUUAAUUAUAAUAUUUUCCUUGAAGCAAUUUAAAAUAGAUGAUCAGUCUUAACGUUAAAAAGUAUGUCUACAUAUCAUAAGGUUUAGGAGUAUUUUUUUUAAUCAAACUACUUGAUUUGAUACUUUGAUUAAACAACUUGAGCUCAGUCAGCCAAUAUUGAGACAGGAAAUGGGGCAGGGACGGUCAUCAAUAUGAACAUCCCUGAGCAGUUAAGGGCCAUGAUUUGGCCAAAAAAUUUUGUGCGGUCCAGAUAACAAGUUGUGCAUCGAUUUUCACACCAUGUGUGGAAUCCGCAAAAUUUUGUACUAAAGUUACACGCUGUACAAACAAAGUUAUGCGCUGUUGAAAAUAGCCAAAACCGUUGGGGACGGUUGCAACCGUCUGUGCCCCUUGUCUAUUGAGACAGUUUCGCUGCUAAAAUGCUGGUUUCCGAGAGAUUCGUUUGCAGUCUUACCUAAAAGAUAAAUACAACAGUAUAAAUACCUUAUUAAUUCAUUAGUUGUGUAUAAUAUUAUUAAAUUUAACCACAAGAGAAUAUGAAAAUGUUCUUGCGACAUAUAUCAAUUAGCCCAAAAUUGUUCAGGUCCCCGAAAAUCUGAAUAUAGUUGCUCACGCAUAUUAAAAAUGGAGCAGGUUAGAAUCACAAGGCUACAGAUCGGCUACACAUUGUGGAUGAAAUCUUCUCCCAUCUAAAACAUUGCCCCUUAAAAGGCUAGAGCUUGAAUUAAGGAACGGGAAAAGGGACCGUCCAGUGGCCAUUCUUUACCAGAACACUAUCCGGUCUCCGUCAAUCUAUCGAAUUCUGCACAUGAAUGUGGAAGAAAGACUAAUGUUAAGAGUUGAAUUGAUUUUCAAUAGCUGUAACAGUGUAUUAUUGUAUUAGCAUGCAUUUCGGUUCUGACACUAAGUGCGUUUGAUAAAAUUGAAAUAUAAAAUCUAAAUUUAUUAAAUUAUUAAGUAUUAAAUUUGAUAUAUUUGAAUGUAUAUCAUAUUAAGUAAUAAAUAAAUAAUUUAUUACUUAUUUUUUAUAAUAUAUUUGCCAAUAAAAUUUAGUACUAUUUAAUUAAUUCAGAUGUUUAAUUUUUGAUUAUCAAAUAUGUUUGAAUAUGUUAAAAUCUGAAUCUAUUAAAUUUAAGUAUUAAAUUGAAUUAUUAAACAGGACCAAAAUCUCAAUCAACUCGUGGAAGUUUUCAACGUAAAUAAUAAGAAUUGAUAUCAAACAUUUAAAAAUAUGGGUAUGCCUUAGCCAUGAACCCCUGUGUUAAAAAGCAAGGAAAGGGAGGGUUCUCUAGCCGUGCUUGACCCGAAGAACAGCCAGUCCCCUUCUCUCAUUUUCCAAUGGACACCCUCAAUGUUGAAGAAAGAGUAAUGAGAAGACUUUCAAUUAAUUUCCAAUGACUCAAGUAACACUAAAAUGGGCAAAUACUUGUGUCUGGAUAGGAGAUUAUUUCGGAUGAUUUUUUUUUAAUAUUGUAUCAGUUUUUUAUAUAAUAUAUAUGAGAUAAAAAGAUAAUUAAAAAAUAUAUUUAUGAUACAAGUAAAUAAAUUAGUAUAAAUAAUUAGCGCGCAAUUAAGUCCUGACUCUUGAAAAGAAGUACUGCUGCUAAUUAGUAGAGUUCUUUACUUCUUUAAGCCAAUCAUUUUCUUUGACCAUUGUAUAUUGGUAACAUUAAUGCACUCAUUAAUUUUGAACGUUAUCAUUUUACUCUUUAUAGUUAUUAUCUUAGUGUUUAUAUUUAUUAUGAUUAGGACUGUCAAUGGGGUCAGGCCACCUGACCUCGGCUGGUUCGGCCCAAAAAAAAUCCGAUGAACUCGACCUUUCACUGAGCCGAUUUGAGUUUGACCCUAAAAAUUGCACUCGAAUUAAAUAUGAGCCGAGUUUAGACCUCAUUAGGCUCAAAUCCAAUAUAGGUCCAACCCUUAAAUUAGCUAUAUAUAUAAUAUAAUUAUAUAUCCAAAAAUAUUAUUACUAAAUAUUAAAUAUAUACAAAUUACAAAACACAAAAAUACAUUUGAAGACUUCUCUACUAACUUUCUUGAGAGCCGAUAUUGAUAUUGCGUGACUAAAAGUCUAACUUUUCUUAUUGGUUGAAUAAAUUUUUUGGUUGAUUUAUUUUUGGUCUAGUAACAUAAAUCAUCAAGCAUGUUUGGAUUUAAGUUACAAAGGUACGAAGAAGUUCCAACUUUUGAAAAUGUAUUAGCUUAUGACCGCAUAAUUUAUUACUAUUUUUCAUAUACUUUGAACGAAUUAGAUAUAAAUAUUGUUCAAAAAUUCUUGAUUUAUGUACUUUUUAAGAACUAUUACUUGUUUAUGUUUAGUUUUAAUGUUAUAGUCCUGUGAAUAUUAAAUUAGUUUUACAACUCAAUAGUUUUGGUAAUCUAUAUCUAUAUAAUCUAUAUUUAUUCCAAAUAAUAUUUCAAAUAAUACUCUAUUCAUAUUUCAAACAUGGAUGAAUUAAAAUACUCAACCCUUACUCCACAUCUGCUAUCAAAACAAGGCUUCUUAAUUACGAAGUUUAACAAAUUAAACUGUGGAUAGUCGAUUUUUUCCUACUCACUGAUUGCCUCGUGACAAGAAGUGGAAUUAUUGCAAAAACAGGGGCUUACAAUAAUUGGAGAAGGGGCAGGAACGGUUACCGUUAUCCUAGGUUCAUGGUUAAGAUUUGAUAAAAAAAAAAAUAUAUGAUUCAAAUUGUAUCUUAUAUAUUAUUUUUCACACCAUAUGUAAGACUUAUAAAAUUUUAUCUUGUAAUGAUAUGUUAUUGAAAAUAAGUUACACCGUGUUCAUAUAUAGUCACACGUUAUGCAUUUUACACAAAACCUUCACGCCCUGCCCUCUGUCCGCAAUAAUUCUGGUCUGUGGAGCCGGGACCCCAUUGCGUGGAAAUGGAAUACAAUAAUUCCCAAUAAUUCUAUGAAACCGGCCCACCACUCAUCAAAGGUUCAGAUGCACUGAGCCCACCACUCGCAUAUGUCUGCUAAUACAACUUAUAUAUUCCACUUUAUAUUCCUCUCUAUUAUACGUUUAUAAUAGAGAGGGACUGAUCCGUCUGGACCAUUCUUGGUAGGGAUUAAUCCUACCUUUAAUUUAGUUAUUCUACAUGCUUUGGACCGUAAAAUCAUCGAAGUGUCUCAAAUCCCCUAAGCUACAGUUAUUGUGAAUGAAAGUCGACUAAAACAAAGGCUUUUCCUCGUACGAACGAAUAAUUUAUCUUCUGUUAAUGAGAAGCUAGCAUACAGCUCCUGUGUGUUUAGUUUAAUUUAUAAGUGUGUGUGUAUUAAUUUCCGAUUGUGGAAAAAGAGAAGCUAGCAUACAGCUCCAUGUUAUUCCUAAACUUGCACGAAUAGUGUGUGAAACCAUACUACUAUUUUGAAAGAAUUAGAGUGCAAAACGGUAGAAUUAACUACUUUGUUUUGGCAGUUCAAGCUUUCAAGGCCUGGCUCAGUUGUACUUAUUUAUAUUCAACUGAAAGAAUCCAUUAAACUAAAACCUCUAAUGUCAUUUUACUUUUUCCAAAGCAACAAAAAUGAAAAUUGUUAUUUCAUAGAAUUUAUGUAUGUAAUAAUAGGAUGUGGCUAUAUGGAGUAAAAAUGCUUAAAUUUUUCAAAGAAACAAUCAAUUUAUAAAGAUUAGGGUAAAACAAGUCUGAAUUGAGCAAUUGGUUAAAUUUUUACGCUUUUUCAGUGUGGGUGCAGGGACCUUUGCUAAUGGAAAAUACCAGAGUGGUCCUUCUCAACUCCAAUAUGAGUAUGAAAUAGUCCAAAAAUAAUAAACUUGUCAAUGAAAACAUCUUUAAUCUACUAAACACAAGAUGACUUUAUGAUAAUUCCAACAUUUUCUCUUUUGCCUUGCUGAUCUUUUGUUUCUUACUCUGUUUGUUUGUUAAACAAUUGAGUAUCUAAUUUCUUUUCUUCACUACCCUACAAAAAAAUAAUAAUAUAAAAUAAAAUGAAAGAAGAGUAAAUUUGAUGGAAGAAAGACUUGUUGGCCCUGGGGUGAGAUUUGUUUCUCCUUUACCUGUACUAAUAUUUGAGAGUGACAUUGAGGAAAAUCCCUGCAUAAGAGUAGACAAGUAUUUGAGGCUGAGAUCCUUCGAAUUUUUUUCAGAGUACAAAAUUAAUGUGUUUGUAAUACAACAUUGGUUAUCGAAAUGACCCCAAUAGAAAAUGUUUCAAGAAUGCAUUUUUUCUGUGAAAAGAAGUACUACUACUGAUUAGUAGAAAUUUUCACUUCUUUAAUCCAAUCAUCUUCUUUGACCGUUGUACGUAACAUUAAUGCACUCCGGUAACAUUAUUAAUUUUGCAAGUUAUCAUUUUACUGUUUAUAUUUAUUAUUUUAGAGUUUUACAUUUAUUAUUUUAAUGCAUAUCCUUAUACUAUAUAAGAAUGACUGUAGGGCAAAGAUUUCAACCGCAAGGAUAGGGCUAUUUUGGGAAUAUGAGAGUAUUUGAAGUGUAAUUUGAGUAUUGAAUAUGAAUCAUUAUAACUGAUUUGGUUUUUUUUAUAAUUACUUAAAUGUUCUUUCAGACAUUUAAAGCUAUGGAUAAGUUUAACAUGUGACAAUAUUCGAUAUCCAAUUAAAUAUUCUGUACAAUUGAAUUCAGCUUGUGUUUUAGUGGAAUUAUAUAAAAAUCCUUUUAAUCAUUUAAUUGUAUUAACAUCUAAGUCUCUUAAUUUCUUAAAGCCUUUCUCAACAGUUAUUUGCAAACUUAUGAUAUAUAGAUGUUAAGGCACAAUUAAUGCUGAUUAGUAGAGAAGUUUGGUUUCUUGGCCGUUACCAUAGUAACCCCUAUCUAUUCAAAUUAAUUUCAUUUACCUAUAACUUUGUUCCACUACAAUCAUGUAGUAUAUUAAAUUCAGAUGUUGCUAUAUUAGCUACUACUCUUUCCCAUUUUGCAACAUCUUUCUCAAUAGGUUUGUUUUCUUUAGCUAAUCUACUUUUUUGGUUGUAAGAAAUUUGUAAUCUUGCAAGUUGUAUGUGCAAUACUUUUUUUAGUGUUUUAAUUCAAUUGCCCAUGUUAGAUAGACUUGAUAGGGAGGAGAUCACAUUUGUUAAUUGUUAUUUGUGGUUUAGAAUAAGUUUGUCAUCAUAAAUUUUUUCAUUAAUAGAUUGCAUCUACUUCUUUUGUUGUUUUAACUAUUAGUUACGGUAAUUUUCAAAUCAUUUGCUACUUUUUUGAUGAUUCCAUUUAGGCAAUUUUUCACUUCAUUUGAUUUGCCAAUAUGUUUAACUAUCUACUUAAAACUAUUUGGCUGCAAAUCUAAAGUAUGUACUUCAUUACUUUUAAUUGUUUUCUUAAAUUGAGUGGAUUAAGAUGUUUUAGUACUUUUUUUGAGGUAAUUAUUCAUCUAGAUUAGCGUGUUAGUUAUUGUAUAUCUUUGCAACUAGAUAAAAAACUGAUGUUUUGUGAUUGUAACCCCUAUCGAGAAGGAGGUGCUUUGCUAUAUGUCCUAAAUUAUAUAAUAAAUCAUAAUUGAUUGAUUUGUCAAUGUGAAACUUUCAUGAUGAUAUGUUCUUGGAAUCAAUAUAAAUCAAAGAAUUUGGCUUGUAAGAACCGAAAUUUCACUAGCAAUGAUUUCUUCAAGUAUGCUAAUUUUUCAAAUCUCACUUAUAUGAUAAGAUAAUGAGAUAGAUUGCCCUCAUAUCAAGAUCAAAUUCAAACUAAACGACAAAAUUUAACAUUCCCAAAAUGCAUGAGCAGAUAUAAGUAGAUCUUUUAUUCUAUUAGAUUAGACACAAAGUAAUUAAUCAUAUUUUAUAAUUAUAUUUUAUUGCAUAUUAUAUAUUUUGACUCAAUAUGUAAUUUAUGAUUUUUCUGUUUAAUAUCACAUAAUAAAAUUGUCAUACUUCAAUUCUUAUACUACAAAAUACUAAAUAAUAAUUAUUAACUAUCUUUACUUAUAGGUACUAAACUCCCGUGCAUGGCGCCGGCUUUUUCCACUAGUAUUUUAUGAUAUAAUUGACACUAGUAAUUGCAGACAUCCCCAAUUCUUUGCUUCCACAAUACCAAGGGUUGAAGAAGCCCUCAAUUUUUUUUUUCUCAUACUUUUUACUUUGUUGGCCAUGGUUAUUAAUCUCCAAGAUCAAUGGUCAUGAUUAUUAAAACGAGAUAAUUAGAAGAGAAAGUGAUCAAAUUUAGUGGUUUGCUGAAGAAAGAAAACAAUGGAAGAAAAUUAGAGAGCUAGCUUGAAGGUUCAUUAUAUUUUGAUCAUUUAUAUUGUGACGUGUCUUGGAUCAUUUAUAUUUUGAUGUCUCUUUGUUUUCUGUUCUUCCUAAUUAUAAAGUUUAACAUAUUAAACUGUGGAUGCUUGAAGCAAAAAAAAAAAACAUAUUAAAACAGGGACGCGCUAUAAGAGAAGGGGCGCCAUUGUGUGGGAAUGGAAUACAAUCAUUCCCAAUAAUUCUUUGAAAUCGGACCCACUACUUUAUUGAGGCAAUAAUUAGAUGUAUAAUAGAGAGGGGGCUGCUCCGUCUGGACCACUCUUGCUUUGGACAAUAAAAUCAUCAAAGAGUCUUAAAUCACUGCUGUUAUUGUCUUAAAACAUAGGCUUUUAUGUGAUCCCUAAUAUCAAAUUUCCCUAAUAAAAUGUUGAUGACAGAGUAAACUAAUCUUGUUUAUCAAUUUCCUCCAUUUGUAAUUAGUUCAAGAUAAAUUUGGAUUUUGGGUGCCUAGCUCCAAUUCCACCUAGUUGAAUAAUUGAUUAUCAUUGCCUGGGGUCCACCUUGAUGCCAAUUCCACCUAGUUGAAUGGUUGGUUGUCUCAAUACUCUUCUUCACCUUCUCACCAGAAACAAAUAAGCAAUUUUCAGGAAAGAAAUACUUUGCUAGCUCUGCAGUUAGUGAGAUUUGUUUCUCUCUUAGAAUUUGAGAGUGAAACUGACGAAAAUCCCUCCAAAAGAGAUGGAGAUGGCCUCCACUUGCAGCAUCGAUCGUGUCUUACUUGAUCUAGAGUCGCUCCGGAACAGCUCCGGAAUAUCCCUUUAUCUUCUUUACGAUGUUCGUGAAGCAAUCAAACACAUGAAAUUUCUCCAAACAUUUCUUAUGUGUGCUAGAAAGUGGAGCCAAAGCAAUGAUUUGUACUUGCAAUCUGACAAUGUUGUGAAGAGGGUAAGUCUUCCAUCUUUCCUAUCUUGUAUCGAAGAUACCUUUCACAAAUAUGAGGAGGAUAUUCACUCUCUUUCCCGUGAUAAGAUAUAUGUAGUGUUCCGCGAAAUUAGGAAACAGAUCAUAUUAUUCAAGCAAGAAAUCAUCCAAAUUUACUUUGCUUUGGCAACUUUGGCAAGCAACAGGUCAUUUCAAUCAAAUUCUUGUAUGACAGAUGAUGAACUGUUGGAAUUCAUAGACCUCAUCCUGCAAAAUCUAGCAGAUUUGACAAAUGACGAUUUGAAUUGGAAAAUUACUAAAUCGUCCAUUUAUGCUGCUUUGAGUGCUCAAGUCCAAGAUCUUGAAGCAAAGCUGACAUUCUUGAAAAGCUCCAUUCCCUUUGCCAAAAUGCGAGGAACCGCAGAUAUUCCUGCCUUGCUAUUGGCUCACUUUGAAGUGGUGGCUUUGACCGCAGCACGCCUCUCUUACAUGUGUUCUUUUUGGGAUGAUGAUGACGAAAAUAAAAAUCCUGGGUUCUACUCCAGAAGAACUUGCAGCUUCAAACUCCUCAGCAUGAGAGCGGUUGAUUUUCAUGUCUACGAGAUUUAUAAGGAAGUACUUGCAGCUUCAAACUCCUCAGCAUCAUUACAUACAGCAGUGAUGGAUGAGCGGAUAUUGAACAACUUCAACGAUUCUCUGAUAGGACGUCUCUGGGAGUUGUUAUGCUGCAGCUCUAGCUUUGUGGAUUCUAUGAAAGAUGAAAUGCAAACACUCUAUGCAGAACUGAGGUUUUUGAGAAGCAUUUUAAGGGAGCAUCAUGCGAUGAUGGAUGAACAAAAUGAAAAAAUUGGAGCUCUCCUUGGUGAGGCAGGCAUUAUAAUAUUCUCGCCCACUCUGAGCAGAGUGAUAGAAGGAGAAGUUAGCUUCUCAGGAUCCACCCAGGUUCUUGAUUUUUGUGAUCUGCUGGCCAAUAUCAAGCAUUUUAAGGAUCAGAUCAGUGGCUCAAGUACUAUAGAGAGUCUUCCUAAUUCCUCUCAUAGCUUAAGAGCACCAGAAGUUAGCCAGACUUCCAGCCGCAUGCUAUCAAAAGGUAAAAUGCCAAUGGACCAUGAAGUCAUGGUUGGUCUUGAUGAUAAGGGAGAACAAGGAAUUGAACCACUUAUCAAGCAUUUUGAGGAUCAGCUCAGUGUCUCAAGUACUAUACAGAGUCUUCCUAAUUCCUCUCAUAGCUUAAGAGCACCAGAAGUUAGCCAGACUUCCAGCCGCAUGCUAUCAAAAGGUAAAAUGCCAAUAGCUCGUGAAAUCAUGGUUGGUCUUGAUGAUGAGGCAGCAAAAGUAAUUGAACGACUUAUAUGGGGAUAUAUGGGGAUCAGAACAGGUGGAAAUUGUUCCCAUUGUGGGAAUGGCUGGGCUUGGUAAGACAACUUUAGCCAAAAAAGUUUACAAUAAUAUUUCAGUAACCUGUCACUUCCACAUUCGUCUUUGGUGCACUGUUUCUCAAGAAUUUAACAUGAAAAGCUUGUUAAUACAAAUUUUGUGCUCUAAUGGAAAACAGUCGAGGAUGGAUGAAGAGCUUAAAAAAUUGAAUGAACAUGCGUUGCUUGAAAAGCUCCGUCAAAGGCUAUUGAAGAAUCGGUAUCUUCUUGUUUUUGAUGAUGUCUGGGACAUUGAGGUAUGGAAUGAGCUGAGAACUGCAUUCCCCAAUGACAAGAAUGGAAGUAGAAUCAUCUUUACGAGUCGAUUUUCUAAUGUAGCUUCAGAUUCAAAGGUUCAAUAUGGUGGAGAACCUCACUAUCUUCACCCACUCAGUGAGAAAGAAAGUUUCGAAUUGCUGCAGAAGAAGGUGUUUGGAGAAGAAGAAGAAUGUCCUCAAGCAUUGCAUGAAUUGGGAAUGGAGAUUGCCAAAAAGUGCAGGGGAUUGCCACUUGCACUUGUUGUUGUAGCUGGAGUCCUGGCAACUAUAGAGCAUGAUAUUUGUGUUUGGGAAGAAUUUGCUGAAAGUUUUACUUUGACCAUGGUGUCUGGUGCAGACCAGUGCAAGAAGUCCUUGGAGCUCAGUUUUGAGCAUUUACCAUACCACUUGAAGGAAUGCUUGCUGUAUUUUGCUGCAUUUCGAGAAGAUGAAAAAAUUGGUGCCAAGAAGUUGAUGUGUCUAUGGAUUGCAGAA
RNAcentral lists this long non-coding RNA (68374 nucleotides) under Coffea arabica (coffee). RNAcentral's name for it is "long non-coding RNA (CARA_LNC002189)". The record is from RNAcentral. Lineage: Eukaryota; Viridiplantae; Streptophyta; Magnoliopsida; Gentianales; Rubiaceae.